GGGGGUGCACACGUGAAUUGCAGAGGGAGAGGGAGAAAGAGGGGGAGUAGGGUUGCUAUAUUCAAGUUCUCUUUUUUAUUUUUACUUGAAUUUGAUUUGAUUCUUUUUUUUUUUUGCGACAGGUUGAGAAUGCGAAAGCUCAGCUGGAGGUGGAGGUGAGAAUUUUAAUUUAAUUCAUGGUAUAUCUUUUUUUUUUUGUGGGAUUGUGCUGUUUUUGGGAAAACAAUAUUAAAUUGAAGUUUAGAUAUUUCUGUAAUUGGGAUUUAGAGUAAGAGAUGAAGAACUAUAUGUGAUUGCAAAUUUAAAAGUUUAGAACUUUUUUGGUUUGGAAGCUAAUUUUAAAUUCAGCUAGCUGAUUAAUUAAUAGAGAAAUUAUAACGAAUGUGUGAUACGUUUUUCAAUGCGUAUGAGCAGACAUGGGUACUGCUUCAGCGGCAGCAGCUGCUAUAUGAUGGUAGAUGAGGAAUUCUGAGAUGCUGAGUGCUCUUAGUGUCAGAGAUGAAGACUUGAUAAUGAUCGUUCCAAUUCUGCCUCAAGGUAUACUUGAUAAUGUUGUCCUUUAUGUGCAAUUCACUGUAUGAUGCUCGUUCCUUUAAUGAGCCUGUCAAUAUAUUUCAAUGCACCCACCAAUUGGUUUUAUCAUCAUACAUCAUUCGUGAGAAAUGGGAUGGUGAGUUUCUCAAUACAGUUUUAAUUUUUGUGCGAAUAAUGUUUGUAAAAAGUCUGUUUUUAUUUAGUUCAUUGCAGAUUCUUAUUCUUUUAUUUAGUUCACGAUUCAUGCUUUUAAAGAUAAGAAGUGCAAGGCUCUCUCGGAUGUUAGUUUUGGGUGGCAAUUGAAAGAUACGAGGACAAACAAAAAUACCUACCAAUUGAAAGGAUAAAUUCAAUUGAAAAUAUUUGGUUCAUCAAUUAUUAUAGUUUGAGCUUUCUGCAUUAAAUGUCCAGUUUUCGGGAAGAGUGAUUCAUGUAAUUGGGUUUUAUUAAAAUUUUCAUGAUUUUAUACAGUUUUUCGUUUAAAUUUGUGGAUUCAUAAACACUUUUAUGAGUGUUAAUUUCUGUUCGUAUGUCUAAAAUUUGUUUGGAAUUUGGCUGUUUCUUCAAUUUCAUCACCACCUAUUCUCACAACUUCAUUUAAAGUGUUUUGCAUGUAUAAGAUUCAUAUUCAUGGAGGUCAUUUCAAACGGAUUUCAAGCUGAGCUGCAGAAAUUUGAUUCAAAUUGGUGGAUUUGGGUAAGAAACUAAGAAACCAUUAUCUUUUGUUUCGGUUUUAAGAACUGAAUUUAAUGGUUAAGUUUAUGUUUCAAGAUUAUCUUCCUUUCUCCUAAAUACUGAGUUUUAUGAGAUUACAUUUGGCAAGUCUGAAAACGGAUUAGAAAUACAGAGUUUUAUGAGAUCUAUUUGGCAAGAUUAUCUUCCUUUGUCCUAAAUACUGAGUUUUAUGAGAUCUAUUUGGCAAGUCUGAAAGUGGAUUGCGUAUGUUUAUAUCUCCCUUUCUUCUAAAUACUGAGUUUUAUGAGAUCACACCAUCUUAUGUUUAUUGUAUAAUCUUAUGCAGUCAGAAGAAUUAUCAUCUUUUUCCUUUUAGAUUUCAACAUAUUUGGAAAUACUUCAAAUUUUUUGUAGUGUAGUUUGUACUUGUAGUUUACAUGAUUACGUAAGUUCUAUUUCUUUAGUAAAUUUUUAUGCAGGAAAGAAAGUCAUUUCUCAGUUUAUAGUUAACAUGAUUACAUAAGUUAUGCUUAUCUUAUCAACCUCAUUCACUCGUAUGUUGCUCUGUUCAUUCAUGAUUGUGUUAAAUUUAUUCAGGUUAAAAGUGUCUUAUUCAUGCAGUUACGCAUGAAACAGUUGUUCCCGCGGCAACACGUGGGCUUAUUUUCUAGUUCCAAUGUAAACCUAGAGACGAAACGAGGUCAUAUAUUACAAAGACAUAUUCUAAAACAGCCUUAGCUCAGAGAAUAAAAAAAGGAAAACUAAUGAAAAUGGCUUGAAAACUUUGAGUUUUAACGAUAUGGACAAAAUAAAGGGUAAAGUGAACAGUAUCAGGUUUGACUUUUUAGUGUAAAAAUGUGAUUUUUCGUUAAAGUAAACAGUACAGCAGACUUUUCGUUAAAACUCCCAAUAAAAAAAACCAUGCAGUGAAAACAUCUAAGGGAAACGAGUUGAUCCUCAAUAAACGCCUCAAUAGAAUGACAUCUUUGUUAAAGCAUCUGUUAUAAAAUUAGCUUCAUCUAAAACAUGAUAGAAGCUGAUAUGAUCAAGCAUACCAUGUUUGCCAACAUAAAAGAAGGAUCUUUCCAAGUUUAGGAAGGUGGGAGUUGCCAAAGAGAAACCGAUUUGAGCCGCAUUUUCUUCAAAUAUCUCAGGCAAACGGUCGGCUGACAAAAUGCAGUCAAUGGCUUCAACAUCUUGAGAAUAAAAGGCACAACUAGGAUCAAUUGGUUGUACUUCAUAUAGGGAUAAGACUUGAGUCUCGUCUUUCACAUAUGUUUACUUGUUCAUUCCGGCCAUUAUAUGGUACAACACUGAACAUAGAGUACAACUUUUCCGGCCUCUAAGUCCGGAACCCUCCCAAACAUUGGACACUACAAUACCAAAAUAAAGCAAUAAAAUACAACAGUACAAUACAAUAUAGUUAAAAGCAAUCCAUCUUAGUACAGACUCAAUCGGAUGAAUCAACGGAGCCCUAGUGUUCAAGCUUCCAUCCUUGCGGUAAACUUAAGUGGUGGCUUCAAGAAAUGGAUAAUCAGUGUAACCAAUGACGGGAUCAGUGUGUAAAAUGUCUCUCUGUUGUACUUGUUUAGAGGAGCAUUAAGUUCAAAUCUCUUUGGCAAAUCCGGAUUCGCCAAGAAAAUACGGCCAUAAGCAAUAAGAUCUGCACGGCCCUCGCCCACAGCUCUGUUUCCAUCUUCCCUGUGAUAACUGUAAAUCAUUGUGUAUGUUGAUGAAGAAAGAAUAUGCAGGAAGAAAGACAGAGAGAAAUGUAGAAGAAUAAGAGAGUAAGAGAGUUUAGAGAGUAGAGAGAGAAUCAAGAAUUGUAUUUUCUUUCUAGUUAGUUACAACUGACUAUUACAACAUGUAUUUAUUUGUAUUGGUAGCUUACACUCUAAGCCACACAAUAACCACCUUAACUAACUCUUAUAUCACAGCUAUAGAAUCUUAGUACACCUAUCAUCCCCCCUCAAGCUCAGGGGCAGAGAAAUUGAGCCUGAGAUUGGCACAAUGAGUCUGAAAGAGUGGUGUAGAAAGACCCUUGGUGAGGAUAUCUGCAAACUGCUCAGUAGACGAUACAAACUGAACAUGUAGUUGCUGUUUUGCAACCCUUUCUCGAACAAAAUGGACAUCAACCUCAAUAUGUUUCGUACGUUGAUGUUGAAUUGGAUUGCAAGUCAGUGCAAUUGCAGACAGGUUGUCACAGAAAAGUAAUGGGGGCUCGGCCAAAGGAAUCUGCAAGAACGACAACAGAGAUUUAAUCCAAUCCAAUUCAGCCGCUGUAGUAGAGAGAGCUCGAUAUUCAGCCUCAGUUGAUGAGCGAGAGACAGUGUGUUGUUUCUUAUACAUCCAUGAAAUGGGAUUAGACCCCAAGAACACCACCAUUCCAGUUGUGGACCGUCUAUCGUUCGGAUCACCCGCCCAGUCUGCAUCACUAUAGGCAGUAAGAUCAAGGGAACCUCGAAUAUACUGAAUACCACAGCCUCGAGUAGCCUUUAAGUACCUAAGAAUCCGUUUGACAGCCAUAAAGUGGGAGUCCAUUGGUCGCUGCAUAAACUGGCAGACCUGAUGCACUGCGAAAACAAUGUCAGGCCGCGUAAAAGUCAAGUACUGGAGAGCACCAACCAAGCUCCUGUACAUUGUAGGAUUAUUAUAAGGCUUGCCAUCAUUGCUGAGAAGACGGUUGUAAGGCAAACAUGGAGUAUCACACGGUUUGGACAAUAGCAUAUCAGAUUUAGUAAGCAGAUCCGUAACAUACUUGUCUUGAGAGAGAAACAAACCAUUCUUGUUCUGUACAAUUUGAAUGCCUAGAAAAUAAUGAAGAGGUCCCAAGUCUUUCAUAUCAAACUCAUGAGUAAGAGCUUGAAUAACCUCAGUGAUAGCUUGUGGAUGGCUGCCUGUGAUGAUAAUAUCAUCAACAUACAACAACAGAAUCACCACAUAUGUGUCAACAGUUUUUACAAAUAAAGAUGAAUCUGCAAAUGUAGACUUGAACCCUAAGGAAGGUAGAAAAGUAGUGAACCUUUCAUUCCACCUGUGGUGCCUGUUUCAACCCAUAAAGCGAUUUAUGUAAUCGACAAACAUAAUCUUCAUGUUUAAGAUCAACAAACCCAGGUGGCUGUGUCAUGUAGACCUCUUUCUUGUAAAUAUGCCAUGGAGGAAGGCAUUUUUCACAUCUAAUUGUCUCAAUGUCCAACCAAAGUUUGCUGAUAAAGCUAGAACGAUUCUCACUGUUGUAGGUUUAACAACAGGGCUAAAAGUCUCUCCAUAAUCGAUUCCUUCUUCUUGAUUAAAGCCUUUUGCCACCAGCCGUGCCUUAUACCUCCCAAUUGAGCCAUCAGCAUUCUUUUUUAUCUUAUAUACCCAUUUACACCCGAUUAAAUUCUUGUGACGGGGCAAUGGAACCAAUGACCAUGUUCCCUGAUUAUGCAAAGCCAAUAUCUCAUCUUGCAUAGCAUUAAACCAAACUGGGGAUUUCAACGCAGACUUAUAUGUUGCAGGUUCCACUUAUGUCAAAUCAACCCCCCCAUGUUCAUGAACCUGAGCAAGUAAAGCAAGCUUCUUAAUAAUACCACUUUUGGAUCGUGUCUGCAUAGGAUGGAAGUUCACUGGGGGAACAGAGAGAACCACUUGGAGCUGCUCAGGUUGGAAUUCAGGUACCACAGGAGGUGCAGGGGAGAAGGGUUGUGUAGUUGGAGAAGUAAUGGAAUGAGUAGCAGUUGAAUUUCCUGCACUGUCAGGUGAACCUGUAAUUGGAACCGUAGUGGAGGCUGCUGAAAGUUGCUGGAGUACCAGAUUUGGCAUGCCACUAGAGAUAGAAUCUGAGCUUAAUGAUGCAGGACACUCAGUGUAGGGAUUAAGUGACUCGUGUAACACAAGUACAUUACUAUGAUUAGGAACUGGAAUUGGUGUUUGAGAAUGUGAUGGAGGUGGUGAAAUAGUGGUACAGUGAGAUUUAGAGACCAAAGAACGAUAAGGAAACUCUGUCUCAUCAAAUAAAACAUGUCUAGAAAUAUACAUUUUGUUUUUAGAAGCAUCAUAACAAAGAUAGCCUUUAUAGUUAGAUGCAUAUCCCAAAAAGAUACAUUUUGCAGUGCGGGGAUCUAACUUGGUAUGAGUAUAAGGCCUUAACCAAGGAUAACAAGAACAGCCAAAUAUUUUCAAAUGUGUUAUUACUGGUAUGGAAUUGUGCAGCAAUUGAAACGGAGAUAAAUUUCCCAAGGAAGAAGAUGGCAUUCUAUUAAUGAGGUACACUGAGGUUUUGCAGGCAAAAGACCAAAACACUGAGGGUAAGGAAGCAGACUGUAGCAAAGCAAUGGAAAUUUCAAUAAUAUGCCUGUGUUUUUGUUUAGCUAUUCCAUUCUGUUCGGGUGUGUAAGGACAGGAAAGUUGGUGCUUAAUUCUUUUAUCAGACAAAAAUUGUUGAAAUGCUUUGUUUAUGUAUUCACCACCACCAUCACUGUGAAGAGUUUUAAUGGCUACUUGAAACUGAUUUAAGAUGAAAUUGUAUAAAGAAACAAAUAUACCCGAAACAUCACUUUUAUUGCACAUGGGAAAAAUCCAGCAAUAUUUUGUACAAUGGUCAAUGAAAGUGACAUAAUAUCUAAAUCCAUCUAGAGACACACAAGGAGCAGGACCCCACACAUCACUGUGAACAAGAUCAAAAGGUUUUACAGAUUUAUCUACGGAGGAAGGAAAUGGGAGUUUACUGAAUUUGCCCUCUAAACAUGGGUGACACAGUGAAGGUGUUUGAUCAGCAACACAAAGAACAUGUGAGGAUUCUAAAAUGCGGGAAACAAUUGAAUUAGAGGGAUGACCUAAUCUCUUAUGCCAAAUACUGGUAGUAACUUGUUGUCCCAGAAAAGCUGCAAGGUUCCUUUUGUGGAUGACUGCAGGAGAACUUGGUGAGAUGAUCGGAUACAAACCAUUGUUACACAGCCCUUUGUAAAGCACCCUCCCUGUGGCUUUGUCGUGAGAGAUAGCUAAACCUUCACCAUUUGCAGUCUGAAUAGUCUCAUUAGACGGAUAUGGAGUGGACAAGGAAAGAUUUCCCAAGUCUGAAGUCAUAUGAUUAUUUGCACCUGAAUCAGUAAGCGAAAUUUGCUGCUGUGGAGGAGGAGAUGGCACUGAGAAAGAAGGAUUAGGACCAUUGAGUGUUGCAGCAUGCAUAGCACUCAUUUGAGGAUUGGCAUUCUUUUGAAAACAUGUUUCUGCAGUAUGAUUGGAGUUCCCACAAAUAAAGCAGCCUGAGGGACCACUUGUAUUUCGAAAUCUACAGGUAUCAGCCAUAUGGUUGUGCUUCCCACAAAUUUGGCAACCUUGUGAAACAUUCAUGUUUCGAAAACGACAUGUAGAAGCCAAAUGAUUUGACUUCCCACAUAUUUGACAAAGUUAAGGCUGAAACCCAUAAAUCUGUGUUCUUGGCGGAGAAGCACCAAGAAUGCCAGGUGCAGGAUUUGAAGAGAAGUUCUUUUUAUUACCAUAUCUCGGAUUGAAUUAGAACCAAAACGAUUUCUGCCUUUACCAUUGUGAUUAAAAGACCUGUAUGCAUUUGUAUUGGAACUAGGAUAAUUUCCACCAGAACCUGAAAAAGACUGAUUCUUGGACACCAAGUCAUUGUUCUGUGCCAUUAGUGCAGACAAAACAGGUGAUGCAGAAAUGGUUUCAAUCAAUGCUUCUUCAGCCAACAAUUGAGAACGAAGAUCUUUCAACGAUAUCACAGUUUCACGACCCCGAAUCACAGAUCUUAUAGUAUUAAAUUCAGCAGGCAGACCAUUCAAUGUAAGAAUCACCAUAUCAUCAUCAUCAAAGAAAACACCAGCAGCAAAUAGUAAAUCCCGUGCUUCUUUAAUCUUCUGCAAAUACACAGUGAUAGAAUCAUUACCCUUCUUUAUAUUUUGCAGUUCAGAUUUGAGUUGAAAGAUACUGGUUCUUGUGAUAGUUGAGAACUGUUCUUUAAGCCUAGUCCACAAUUCUUUGGAACUGGUACUACCAAUCGCACAAGAAAUCCCAGCAGGGGACAAGGUUGCAGUGAUCAACUGCAUUAAUGCUUUAUCAUGCAUCUUCCAUACUCUGUAAUCAUCCGAUUGAACUUGGGUAGUAGAACCCCCAGAUAAUUCUUGGCAAAAUUGGUCAGGACAAGGAAUCGAGCCAUCAACAAACCCAAUUAUACUAUGGCCUUCAAGCAGGAGCUCCAUCUGAAAAUGCCAAGCCAAAUAAUUUGUUUCAUCCAACUUCACAUUAACUGAACUUGAAACCGACGAGAUCAAAGAAGCAAUCGGAGACUGAAGAAUAUGUAACUGAGUAGCAGUCACCAUUGUUACCAAUUAGGAGAAAAAUCCCAAGAAAUCUUGACAGAGGAAUAACCACAAACACUUGGUGGGUGUACUUUGAUCGAGAACGAAUCAAAGGAAGAAGAAGACUAAACCAGCCCAAAUUUUAACACAAGAAAUCACAGCAAGGAGAAGUAAUAGGGUAGAAGCGGAAGCAACCAUAACCAAGAUCGAAAUCCGUCAAGCUUUCAUGCUUGUUCCGGCGAUGAUACCAUGUAAACCAUUGUGUAUGUUGAUGAAGAAAGAAUAUGCAGGAAGAAAGGCAGAGAGAAAUGUAGAAGAAUAAGAGAGUAAGAAAGUUUAGAGAGUAGAGAGAGAAUCAAGAAUUGUAUUUUCUUUCUAGUUAGUUACAACUGACUAUUACAACAUGUAUUUAUUUGUAUUGGCAGCUUACACUCUAAGCCACACAAUAACCACCUUAACUAACUCUUAUAUCACAGCUAUAGAAUCUUAGUACACCUAUCAAUAACCACCACCAGCAAUGAAGGUACCAUGGAAAGCCUUUCUCAUGGGAAGAAGACUCUGGUGGGUUUCAGCUUUUUCUCCUAAUGUCUUCAUCCUCGGCUCAACCAUGUGGCAGUACACGAUUCCAUAUUUGUUCAAGGCAUUGGCCAUAUAGAGGCCUAAUUCUUUUGGAUUUGAAUCCCCUGAGUCCAUAUAGUCAGCAAAUGGAGAUAAUCUAAUUCCAACUUUAUCUGCUCCUAUUUCGUUAGCGACAGCUUCAACAACUUCCAGAGGAAGGCGGCAACGAUUCUCUAGAGAUCCACCAUAUUGGUCUGUUCGAUCAUUCACAUGAUCUUUCAGAAACUGAUCAAGAAGGUAGCCAUGCGCCCCAUGAAUUUCAACUCCAUCGAAGCCUAUAUAGCAGAUUAACAAUUUCAACAUACUGACGGUAUUAGAACCCUAAGCAUUGUCGCUGAAUUACCAAACAAAUAAUAUAAAGACAAACUACCGGCUUCAAUAGAAUUCCUUGCAUAAGCUUUGAAGCAAAUUGAGUUGUUGUAAAUUAUGUUUCAUAUGUAACGUAAAGACAAAUUACCAGCUUCAAUAGAAUUCCUUGCAGUAAGUCUAAAAUCAUUGACAAUUUGCGGAAUUUCAUCCGUCCUUAAUCGUCUUGGAGGCGUGAAUUCAGAAGCAUCGAUGCCAUUUAAUCGUAUCGGCUUGUCAGUAGAAGAUAUGGGAGCUUGCCCAUUUGGUUGAUAACCUGUAAGCAAGGAGAGAGAAUUACAACCUGAAGUCUAACGACAGUAACUAACAUCCACAGCAGCACUCUUUUAAGUGGGAAUCCUUUGUUACAAAUUACUAUAACCACACGUGCUAUAUACUAGUUCUGAAUUCUGAGUUAUGUUAACAUCAAGCUUCUUCCCAUCCAAUAAUAAUAAUAACAAUGCUUCCGAAGCAGCAAAGUCAUAACAAGUCCAACUCGGAACUUAACAAGUCCAAGUUUUAUCGUCAUUUUGAGCAACAAUGUUGUCAAUUAUAAUCACUAGCUCGUUCUGAUGCAUACACCAUUAUGUUAUACAUCAAACUUCUUAAUCGGUCUAAUUAUUCACUCAUGUUAACAAAGCAUACUAUGGUAAAAGUGUUGUGCCUUGGCCCGUUUAUCAGUGCGGAAACGAGAUUCAGAUUACAACCUCACCAUAAUCACACUCAGUUGAACAGAAUAAAAUACAAGAAAUAAAGACACCGAGAAAUUUACGAGGUUCGGCAAAAAUCCUGCCUACGUCCCCGGAGAGAUAUUGCUCUUCACUAUGAGAAUAACAGUACAAGUACACAUGAGUUAAAUCAACAUAACCCAAUCCCGAAUCCCUUGCACACCCACUCAUAGAAUUUUCCCAAGAGCCUCACUCUAUCCCAAGAGUUCUUUCACCAGAGACCUUUCACUCUAGCUCUCUUGAUUUCUCUCUCACCCGUGUUCAACCCUUCCCAUGGGAGAGCUGAAUGCUCUCCCCUUUUGGAUGCUCACUCCAUCCUCACAAUCGGCAAGCUCUCUUCAUUUUGUGUGUGAAAAAUGCCUUCACUUAUAGACAUGCACCAUCAAUUAUGUCAACCACAAAACAUGCUUCCACAAAACAUGCUUCCUCAAAACAUGCUUCCACAAAACAUGCUUCCACAAAACAUGCUUCCAAAGUCCACAAAGUUGAGAGGAAAUGGUUGCCAACUCAUAAUUAUAUGAGCCAAACACAACAAUCUCCACCUUGGCGAAUAUACUGUGCAAAAAUCCUUGCACCCAUCACCAAUGUCCAUUGGCCUUACGUACCAGCAUACACAUUCUGAAUCAACCUUGUUGGUCCUGUUCCUGAUUCAGUCACUGCCAAUGCAUGUGCAGCUGCUGCAAGCUAAAAAUCACCAUUUAGCUUCAGACAGGAUCUCGACACAUCCUCGUCUCCUCCAGCAGGUUUUCCUUCUCUUCAUUGUCUGCAACUAGGAAACUCGUCAGCGCGCCCGUUUCCAGUAACAACCCAUCGAGCCAGACAAAAUUCCCACACUUCCUCCUACCUCAUGAUCAUCUCAUCACCUGUGAAUCCCAUAGCUCCACCUGCUGCAAAACCCCUGCAACACUUGAGACUAAACAUCACCAGGAGAAGUGUUGCUUCGAGUACCUAGAGGACAUACUCAAAGUCUUCCGCCACAAACUUGCUACAACCCGGCCUUGCACCGUAGCACUGUGGACCCUUGCCUCCGGAACCGGAUCUGAACCUGCUGUCUCUCUCUGAUCCUCUUUCCAAUUUUCUUCCACGAUUCCAACCUUGAAUAACUUAAGCAGUCUUGUGCCCACCAUCAUCCAUGGUCUCCUUUGUGUAUCAUUCCACACCAAAGAAGCUUGCACCUGCUCCAAACUUACUGUAUCUUUCCAUGCAGUAAAGUUUCACAAGGUUCUAAGACAAAUCUGAAAGUGAGGUAAGAAGAAAGAGGCCUUUGUUUUCUUCCUCAACAUCAACUUUCGCAGUUGAUCCAAGCAUCCCUGAACACGGCUUCCAUUACUCUCCUUUGCCAAGAGUAAAACCGCCUCUUCCUUUAAACUGCUCAACUGAAAAUUCCAUGGUGAACAACAAAUCUGGACCUCCAACGAACCAAAGACUCCAACGAUGCUCUGAUACCAAUUGUUAUGCCUUGGCCCGUUUAUCAGUGCGGAAACGAGAUUCAAAUUACAACCUCACCAUAAUCACACUCAGUUGAACAGAAUAAAAUACAAGAAAUAAAGACACCGAGAAAUUUACGAGGUUCGGCAAAAAUCCUGCCUACGUCCCCGGAGAGAUAUUGCUCUUCACUAUGAGAAUAACAGUACAAGUACACAUGAGUUAAAUCAACAUAACCCAAUCCCGAAUCCCUUGCACACCCACUCAUAGAAUUUUCCCAAGAGCCUCACUCUACCCCAAGAGUUCUUUCACUAGAGACCUUUCACUCUAGCUCUCUUGAUUUCUCUCUCACCCGUGUUCAACCCUUCCCAUGGGAGAGCCGAAUGCUCUCCCCUUUUGGAUGCUCACUCCAUCCUCACAAUCGGCAAGCUCUCUUCAUUUUGUGUGUGAAAAAUGCCUUCACUUAUAGACAUGCACCAUCAAUUAUGUCAACCACAAAACAUGCUUCCACAAAACAUGCUUCCUCAAAACAUGCUUCCACAAAACAUGCUUCCACAAAACAUGCUUCCUCAAAACAUGCUUCCACAAAACAUGCUUCCACAAAACAUGCUUCCAAAGUCCACAAAGUUGAGAGGAAAUGGUUGCCAACUCAUAAUUAUAUGAGCCAAACACAACAAAAAGGGAGGUCAUAAAGGUGUAAGUCAGAAACGCACCGCUAUUAGAAACCCUUCCAGCAUGCCAAAUCUGACAGAAGAAGACGCCACCUUUAGCAUGAACAGCAUUAACAAUGGGUUUCCAGGCUUCAACUUGCUCCUUUGUCCAUAUACCAGGUGUGUUUGGGUACCUUCGUAUAUUAAAGAACCAAAAAUUUCAUCAAACUUUGAAACGAAAGAAGCACCCUCAAAUGCUUGUUAGUCUAUGAAUCUACUGUUGUUGAAAUUACCCUUGAGCUGUGUUGGAAACUCCAGCGGCUUCAGCUAUGAGAAGACCCCCGUUCGAAGUUCUCUGAGAGUAAUAUAAGAUAGCAUGUGGUUGAGGAACAUUGUUGUAUGAUCUCUGUCUGGUCAAUGGUGCUAAAACAAUUCUGGAAAGGAAAAAGCAAUUGUAAAUUAUAAAUACAGAGUGAUCAAGACGGAAUGUGGCUGAGGAACAUUAUCGAAUGAUCUGUUUCUAGUCAUCAACGGUGAAAAUACAAUUCUAAAGAGGAAAAACAUAUAACAAACCAUAAAUACAACCUUCAGACUUUGUAGGAAGCAUUAGUUUGCUAAGGCUCUUUGAUAACAAAUUCGCUUUUAGUUUUCUUGUUUUAGUUAAAAAGGAGAAACGAGGGAGGAAGAAGGAAUUUGGGACGAAAAUGUAUGAAAUAAAAACUCGAAUUGUAGAUUAUCUGAAUUUGCUAAGGCUCCUUCAUAACAAAUUCGCUUUUAGUUUUCUUGUUUUACUUAAAAAGGAGAAACGAGGGAGGAAUAAGGAAUUUGGGACGAAAAUGUGUGAAAUAAAAACUCUAAUUGUAGACAAUCUGAAUUUGCUUUAUGUUCUUCAUUUUCGGUAUCAUUCCAUGAACAUUUGGUCCCUCAUCCAUCCCUUCCCCUUCCCCUUCCUCCUCCUCCUCCUCUUCUAUCAUGCAUUUUCUCUUUUACUUAAAAUUAAAAACUAAAAAUCAAAUACGAAAUCGUUACCAAACACAACCUAAACAAAGCAAUGUCUUACGAAGUGACCAUGGCCGAAAGGGCACAUACUUUUAACAAUCUAUUGCAUCUAUUUUCAACAAUUAAUCAAUGAAAUAACUCAAGUGUACUGUUGUUUUGAUUUAAUUUGUAACAUCUGUACUAUUUUAUAGACAAAGAUACAGUUACUCUUUUUUUUUUUUUAGGUAAACUAGAAUUACACCAGGGCAAAGCCAGAGUACAACAGGAAAGCCCACACAGAGGACUAACAUAGCUAAAACCAUUGAGACGACAAACAACAAAAUGAUCCAGGGCCAAGGACCAACACUAGUCCCGACAUUAUGUCACCCUUAAUCAUUCCAACAUAGACUCAACUUAGUGUGGGCAAGGUAGACCAUCCUUGUUCAACUUCUUGUCUCCUUCCCAACAUCUGUACUAUUUUAUACCAACAUGAUUCUCUCUGGAUUCUUUUGGUGAGAAUCUUGUCCGUUCAUCGUACAUCGUGCGAUCAGUUUUUGUCAAAUAAUUUUGUGUUUAAUUUUAAAUAAAAAUAUUUAAAAUAAUUUUUUACUGCACGAUAUACGAUGAACGGACAAAAUAACGGAUUUUCAGGAUUCUCACAAAGAGAAUUCGACGAGUAUCCGGAUUCUAUUUUAUAGACAAAGAUACAGUUACAAACACUCCUUGUCUCCUUCCCCAAAUCAUUCUUCGUUUUUGUAAAAUAGGAACAAUGUAUGAAAGUUUUAAUUACCUAUGAGAAAGAUUGAAGUUUCCAAUUUGUAGGGAGUGAGGAGAGGAACUGUGGGAGGUUGAGCAGCAGCAGACAUCUCAGAAUUCGAGUCGGUCGUCUACCACCUGAUCUUGCACUUGGCCUUUUAUACUGGAUUCUGGGAUGAAGGAAGGAAGGAAUGAAUGAAAACAGGACCCAAUUGGGUCUUUAUACGUUCGGUAGGAGCUUAAAAGUCCGCCCUGCAGCUUUCCUCCACAAAAGUCAGAGAAGGCCGGGUCCCACAUCUCCCCUCCCUUGUGUGGUGGUGGCGGCGGCGGACGUCGGUGGGUGGACGAUGGAUCUCUCCAAAGCAUUAAUUAAACCGAUUAGGUGAAGACAGGUAGGAAGGUUUGAUGAGGUCUGUAAUUACGUUUACGUGGGUUGAAAAUUCACCAGUUUUAUGAGGUCUGUAAUUACGUUUGCGUGGGUUGAAAGUUCACCAGUUUUCCCCAUGAAAAAGGACGUCUACGCACGUUCAUUUCGAUUUUGCUUUUUCAUCCUGCAUUAUUAGGCCAUGGUUAGAAAAAUAUAUUAUUUAGGUCCUUAAGGCCACCUCCAAUCAGAAGGGUUAAAACAUAAUCUCAUAUAGAAUUAUAAUUUUGUAAAAAAAUUAAUUUUAAAUUAAUAGUGUCAGAUCAUAUUCAUAUACUAUCUAUAACCAAAUGAGCUAAACAUAGCCUCAUCAAUUUCCGAUGGAUAGCUAGACUAAAAUUCUAUGGAGCUCAUCAAGCCAUCAUUUGGCUAAAGGGGCAUUGGGUUGGCCAAAUGUAGCCCCCCUUCUUAGCCCUUUUUGGAGCUCAGCUCCUCUACUGCACUAUUUGAGUCAAAUUCAACAACUAUGUUUGAAAACAUUUAAUGGAAGUUUAAUUAAAUUAAUCGAUAAAUUUAAUAUAUAAACUUAAAACUAAGUAAUUAUUGAGAAGGUUAUGUUUAGCCACUUCAGUGACGGUAUAUAAGUAUGACGCGAUAUUGUUCAGUCAUUUCGGUUGAAGAUGGCCUAAGGUAAGAAUUUUGAGGAUAUGUGAGACUAAUGUAUGUUAGUUACAAAAUUAUGUUUGUAUAGAUCACUUGAAAUAUUUGACAACUUAAUAAAGAAAAACCAACUUAAAAUCCAUGAACCAUUAGAAAACUCAUUUUCUUUUUUGGUUUUAUUAAGUUGUCAAAUAUUUAAGCUUUUGAAUACAAACUAAUAUAAUCUUGUGGCUAAUAUACAUUUGGUCCUCACAAAUCUUUAAAAUGAAGACCUUACUUGAUCAAUGAAUUUAUGACAAAUUAAAUAGUCUAAAAAUAAAAGGCUCGAAUUAGGGCUAGGUUCGGUUCAAAUCGGUUCAAUUUUUUUUUUCGGUUUUGGUUUUUUUUUGGUUCCGGUUCGGUUUUUUCCGUGAUUUUUUUAAAUCUUUUUUAUUUUUGUCAAAAAUAUAAAGAAGAGUAAUUUUACUUUUUGUUUCCGAUGAACUAAGAAAUUAAAGAAGGAACUUGAAUUAAAACUAGGGCAACUCGCAAUGAUGGCUGCAUCAAACAAAUCAUCCAUAUCUACAAUAUGAACAGAAACCUUUGUAAAUCAUAAAGUCCUUAAUGCUAAAUCCUUUAAGAACCAAGACUUGAAAACCCUAAAUCUGCAAUACAAACCCACAAGUAAGAAACAAACCCACAACACAAAAAUCGAACAAAUCUGCAAUACAAACCAAACUCCCUCCAUGGCGCCAUGUCACUGCCUCCGUUUUCCGGCCAAACCAAGGCGAUUUAGCCCAAAAAAAAGGUACAUCUUCGUCUCAUCUAGAAGUAUGAUUUUUGUUUUUGAAUCACUUGAUUUCGUUGAGUAUUCAAGAAGUUAUGAACGUUUAAAGUUUACCCAGUUUCUGGCGAGUUUCCAAGUUUUCCCUCGUACCAAUCAACUUUGAGGCUAUUUUCCCGCCAUCUCCAGCAACCAUUGGGCUUCCAAAUAGGUUUAAUCUUAUUAUAUAUUUUCCUAUCUUCAUUUUGAUAUUUUAUGGGUCGAAUUUGGUUAAGAAACGAUUAAGUUACAAAGCUUUGAAAAUUGCCCAAGAACUCCGGGACACUUAACGGAGUUUUUAACGGAAGGACCAAAAUGAUGGAUGGUGGACAAUCUCAAGGACCACUUUUAUCGAUUUGAAAUGUUAGGGACCAAAGUGAAGAGUUAUGCAAAUCUCAGGGACUAUUUUGACUAUUUAGCCUUUUUUUUUCCUAAACGAAAAAUAUUUUUUUUAAAUGAAGAUAGAAAAGUGUAGAAUAAGAUUAUACCUAUUUGGAAGCCCCAAUGGCUGCCGGAGAUAGCCGGAAAAUAGCCUCAAAGUUGACUGGUCUGAGGGAAAAUUGGAAAACUCGCCGGAAACUGGGUAAACUUUAAACGUUCAUAACUUCUUUAAUACUAAACUAAAUCAAGUGAUUCAAAAACAAAAAUCAUACUUCUCGAUGAGACGAAGAGAAUGGUACCUUUUUAGACAGUUUAAAUUGCGGUGGUUUGGCCAUAAAAGGCUAAAUAGUGUCUAACUCGAGACUAAGACAGCAUUUAUAGAACCGUUUUCUGCCAAACCACAGUGAAUUUACCCUUCAAAUAGGUACCAUUCUCUUAUUAUCGUCGAGAAGUAUGAUUUAGUUUUGAAUAACUUGAUUCGUUUAGUAUUGAAGAAGUUAUGAAUUUAAAGUUACUCAGUUUCUGGUGAGUUUUCCAGUUUUCCUUCGGACCAGUCAACUUGAGGCUAUUUUCCGGGCUAUCUCGGCAGCCAUUGGGCUCAAUAGGUAUAAUCUUAUUCUACACUUCUAUCCAAUUAUUAAGGCUAAAUAGUCAAAGCUUUGGAAAACCCACACAGAAAAAGUUCGCAACACUAACUUAACCAAAUUCGCCAAUAUCAAAGCCCCUGGAAGGGAGCCUCCCUCCAUGGUGGAAUGUCACUGCCUCCUUUUACCGAUUUGCGAAGCCCAAAAAGGGAGUUAUGCAAAUAGAAGAGAUUUUGUUUUUUUUCUUUUUUUUUCCCUAAACGAAAAUAAUUUUUUUUAGGUUUUACCCAAUAAGAUGGGAAGCCCUGGCUGCCGCGAAUAGACGAAAAUAGCCUUCAAAGUUGACUGGUCUGAUGGGGAAAAUUGGAAAACUUGACUACUGGGUUAAACUUUUAAACGUUUCAUAAGAUUAAUAAUAAAACUAAUUUUGGUGAUUCAAAACAAAAAUCAGGGACUUCUCAUGAGACGAAUAUAAAGAAUUGGUCACCCUUUUUAGACAGUUAAAAUUGCCCAUAAAGGCUAAUAAGUGUUCUAACUCGAGACUAAGACAGCCAUUUUAGAACCGUUUUGGGCCAAACCACAGUGAUAGCCUUCAAAAUAGGUACCAUUCUCUUAUUAUCGUCGAGAAGUAUGAUUUAGUUUUGAUAAACUUGAUUUCGUGAGUAUUGAGAAGUUAUGAACAUUUUAAAGUUACUCAGUUUCUGGUGAGUUUUCAGUUUUCCUUCGGACCAGUCAACUUUGAGCUAUUUUUCGGGCUAUCCCGGCAGCAUUGGGCUUCCAAAUAGGUAUAAUUCUUAUUCUACACUUUCCUAUCUUCAUUUGUUUAUUAAUUUGGUUUAAGAAAAGAGUUAUGUUAUGAAGCUUCUAAAGAACUCCGGGUCCAAAAACUUCUAAAGGCCAAACUCCGGGACACUUCUCAGGGAGUUUUUCGAUUUGAAAAGACCGACCAAAUCUUAAGGACAUUUUUGGCUAUUUAGCCAAUCUUAAUGUACUCCCCAAAUAUGAAUGCAAGUUAGGACCAAGAAGUUGGGUUUUUAGCCAAAAAUUACAAACUUUAAAUGAUUAAUAGAACCAAAGUCAAUACUAAUUAUAGCCAUAGAAGUAUUGGGUUGACCGUUUAGAAACGUGAGAUUUCAAAAGGAUGUUACUAAUAAUAUGGUAAUUGUGGUGAUUGAAAUAUUUACUGCAAAUUCACCUUUUCAAGAUUCUGAUUCUCUUGAUUUAAAAAAUUGAUAUCCACUUCCUGAAAAAUCUUUACAAAACUUGUCUUCUGGUUGAGCUUCAAAUGCCCGUAUGCUAUUCUUUUGAUUGUAUAUUACAAAAGAUGUUAAACAUGAAACUUCAAAAGGGGAUUUAAUCCAUUCUAUAUUUGAAAAUUUCCUAAAAUGGAUGUUAAAACUGAAAUUCAAAUGUUUUUAUCCAUUUCUGUCCUUACUUCCAAAAUGACUGGGAUCGUGACCGAUAAUUUUACAAUUCCAAUCCCCUUUGAAUUUUAAGAGUUAUGCUAUUACUUUAGUCUAACUAGGGUUAUGUGGCAUUAUGCAAUUUUGGACAUUUCAGUUCUACUUACGAUAAUUCAUUGAGUUUUCUGUUUCCUUCAUUUAAUUUAUUUGCAAAUUUGCCAUUGGGCUUAGAAAGGUUUUUGUCUUUACGGUUAUUUCCGUUCAUUGGAAUUUUUUCGAUUAUUCGAUCCACGCGUUGAUCAUCGCUGGAUCGCCGGCUGUGUGGGAUCUGGUGAGGGGAUGGGUUACGUGUCCAUCAUUGUCGAAAGGUUUGCUUCGACUGCAACCUCUCGACUUUUCGUUUCGUUUCAACUUCUAUCUCACAAGCCUCUGCUUCAGUCGCUCUUGAUCUUCGCCUUUUCUAAGGCGUUCGAGGGACAAAAACCGAAAGCCAAACCUCCACCACAAACGAAGUCACAAAUAGGGAUGGGCAACGGCGGACGGGUAACCGCGGUUAUUUACCCAUAACCAUUUAUACUUAUACCCGCAUAAUUGUUUACCCAUUGGGUAAUUGCCCAAGCAGUUAUACUCAUACUCAUAACCAUUUAUAAACGGUUAACCAUAUCCAUAACAGCAUACCCAUUUAACCAUAAUCGUUUAAUACCAGUUUACUCAUUUACUCUUUUUAACCCGUUUAUUUUUUAUUUAUUUUUUACCAUUACCUCUUUUUUCACCCUUAUACAUGGUUUUUAACAACUUGAAAAUUAAAAAAAAAAUGUCAUAAUUUUUUUUGGCAAUUAAACACCGUUAUAAGCACAUUCAUCAUACAUUUCUGUAUUUUAAUUUUUUAAAUCCUUAUCUCAUUCCAAUAAUUGAAAUAAUUUCCGGCAAAGACACAACGGCGUGCACUCGUACGUGGGUUAUUUAUAUGCUCAGCAAGCACCCUUAUAUGCAAGAAAAGGUUGUAACAGAAGUUUGAGAAGCAGCAAAUCUGAAAGAUGACUCAAGCAUUGUUGAACUUGCAGACAAUCUUAAUGAAGAUGCCCUUAAUAAAAUGCAGUAUGUCUUAGUAGCUUUGACUGAGACACAGAGGCUCUACCCUGUAAUUCCACCGUAAAUUUGACUAACAUCUUAACUAAAUCUAAUGCAUGCAUACCGCAAGGGAAAUGAUUUCAGUGCGCUCCCGUUUAGUUUUCUCACUUAAAUUUCUUUUGAUUUAUUCAAUUUAAGAAUAGAAAUACUCCAUGGAUCAUCGUUGAUUACUUUUUAAUUAAUUAAAACACUACUAUAUAAACCACAUUAUAGUCAAUAGUAUUGAUCUAAGUUUUGUCUGAUAGAGAACAUGAUUUGUAUUAAUUUUACAUAUAUAAAAUAAAUAGGUAAACAGUUAUUCGUUUAUAAUCGUGAUUAAUACUCAUAACCAACCAUUUAAAUUUUACAGAUGAACGAUUAUACCUAUAACCAUUUAUUUAUUUAAACAGUUACCCAAAUGAGCAUGUAACCGCGGGCCAUCCCUAGUCACGAACGCCACUCUCACUCACCCUCCACCGUUACACACGAACCCAAUCAUAAUUCUGAAAUCCAAACACAACCCAGAUGUUAAUCCUUCAGAGAAUGGCAAUGGCCACUUCUUCUUCCUUCCUCUUAAUCCCUCUCCUCAAUAAUCUUCUUUGCUUUCCCCAGUUAAACACCAAGCUCCGAGUUCAGGUCUCUGUCCUUCUACGGCGGUAGAACUGGAGUCUCCACCUCCUCGGCGAUGGCCACGGAGGCUCAGGUCUCGACCCAAGACGACAAAUUGAAGGAUGCCCAGAUGGAGGUAGCUGAUAAGCCUGAGACAGUCGUGCUUCCAACCAACGAGUCCUCCGAAAGCCUCAUCAUAAUUCGACACACGGUAUUUAUUGAAAUUUCAUUGCUUUGGAUUGGAUUUAUGAUUGUUUUAUGUUAAAUUGAAGUAGGGUGCUUUCCUGUUGAAUUUUUUGAAUUUUUAGAUUCUUAGGAGCUUCCCUUUUUGAAAGUUUGAUGCUUUUAAUUAACUAUUUUCAAUUCUGCGUUACUAAUGGUCACCUGAUUCUAUUGUGAAGAAUGAGAAAGUGAGGAUGAAGAAAAUAAGAACCUAACUUUUCGGUAAUUUGAAAUUUGAUCGCAUAGGACAUGGAAAAAUGGGUGUACAGCGGUAGAUAAGUUGGGAAAAAUUUCAUCCUGUUUUUGGGAAUGUGAGAAGAUACAUGGGUUUCUGUAUUUUGAUAAAGUGUUGAGGUCGAGCCAUGUUCAUUUUUUUCUGAAUUUUCUUGUAGUUUGGUAUUAAUGGCGCCUUUUCCGCUGUUAUGGUGAUGAACCAUUUAUAUGUGUUUGACUGCAGUGUGCACACGUGAUGGCCAUGGCUGUUCAAAAGCUCUUCCCGGAUGCAAAAGUGACAAUUGGUCCAUGGAUAGAAAAUGGGUUCUAUUAUGAUUUUGAUAUGGAGCCUUUGACGGACAAAGAGUUGAAGAGAAUCAAGAAGGAGAUGGUAAGUGGAAUUUCUGUAUAAGUUAUCAUGUUUGUAUCAAAGUUUUGGAACCAUGAAACUAUUGAAAACUAUUCAUGCACAUUUCUUUUGUGAUUUGUAGGAUAGCAUCAUUGGUAGAAACUUACUAUUAGUAAAGAGUCCUCCACGUCUAUACCCUUGUCAUAAUCUCCAUAAUUAUCUUAUGUAUAUUAUCACGUUAUCUUAGAGAUUUGUAAUCCCGUUAGGAUUUGUAUUGGGAGCUACACAAUCCCUUUAGGACUCUUUGUAAACUGGUAUAUUUAUACCUGAUUAUGAGCAAUGGAAAGUUAAGUCUUCCACCAAUAUUACUGCUUCGUGUUUACUGUGCUCUUUCUCUGAAUAUAUAUAUUUCUACAUGGUAUCAUCCCUUUCUCCGGCUUAACCACCCUUCUCGAUCCGCUUCCCAUCAUGUCCUCUACCUCCCCACUUCCUGGCCCUGCUAUUGCCCAGUUUCUCAAACUCAAUGACUCCAAUUACCUCACAUGGCUUCGUCAGAUCAAGCCCUUUCUUGUUGGUCAUGAUCUGUGGAAGGUCGUUAAUGGCUUCUACCCACCCCCUCCGGCCACCUUCACCGUCACUGCCACCCCUUCCUCUGCCGCUACUAACUCCGACAGUUCUUUCGUGACUACUACCUUUACUCUUCCCAACCCCACUUUCGCUCAUUUGUACCAACACGAUCAGUUGGUCGUAAGCUACAUAGCCGCCACCUUAACAGAACCUGUCCUUGCUCUCACUGUGGGCCAUGACUCCGCCCAAGCCGUUUGGGCAUGUCUUCAACGGCGCUUCGCCUACGACCCUGUCCUCAACUCCGUCGCCUUGCGUUACCAACUGCUUGAUAUUUCCAACAGAUCUUGCUCUAUUGCUGACUAUCUUCAACAUGCUAAAUCUCUUGCUGACAAACUCGCUACUAUCGGCCGUCCUGUUGAUCUUGAAGACUUCAUCACCGUUGUUCUCCGUGGUCUUGGAUCUGACUACCUUACCCUUACCACUGCUAUCAUCAACGUCACCAUUCUUCUAACCUUUGAGGAGUUGACCUCCAAGAUUGAAGCUUUUGAUCUCCAGAACCUUCGCACCUCCACCACGUCUGCCGCUUUGUAAAUUGCCCUCAUCACUACCCACCAACCCCGUGCUUCUUCUCAGUCCUCAGGCAGUCACGAUGGAAAUUAGAACGGUCGUUUCCAACGGAACAAUGGUCCGCAGUGUAAUACCUCCGGCUGGCAUCCUAGCAAGAAUACCAAUUCCCGCAACCAACAACAACAAUGGAAUGGGCCUCCUCCAUUCAAUUAUCAACAACCUUGGCAUGGACCCUCUGCUCCCAUUUAUUGGCCAGGCCCACGUGGUUUUUCUGGGCCAGGCCCACUUGUUCCACCUCGCAACAUAGUGCUACACACUGUCCACACCGCUAUGGCGGCCCCGAACCUUUCCCCCCCUUUGAGGGCUCUCAGGUGAUUUCUUAUUAGGAUCCCAACAUUUGGUUUCCCGAUACUGGCGCUACCUACCACAUGACGGGCGAUCCCAAUGCCCUCCCCCACCCACAACCUUAUCGUGGUCCUAAUUCCGUUCAAUUGGGUAAUGGUGAUUCUCUAAACAUUACAUCCACUGGUACAAUUCCUAUCUCUCUUAACUCUAUUCCGUUUAGUCUUUGUAAUGUCUUUCUUGUUUCGGCCUUACGUAAAAACCUCUUGUCUGUUACAUACUUUACACAUGAUAACAAUGUCGUUAUUUGUUUCUUUCCAUCCUUUUAUCGUAUCUAUGAUUUACACUCUGGUGUUUUAUUGUUUCAAGUCCCAUGUAGAGAUGGCCUUUAUCCAUUAUCCUUCUCCUCACCACAGGCCCUUGCCGCUUCAUCCUUUACCCUUUGGCAUCAACGUCUCGGUCACCCUUCAUCUUCGGUUUUGUCCCGUCUUAGCUCUAGUUUCGGUUCUACGUCAUUUUCUUCAAAGCAUUUUUGUAAAAGUUGUGCUUUAGGCAAGUCCACACAACUUCCUUUUUCAAUUAAAUAAUGCAAGGGCUACUACUCCAUUUUAUAUUAUACAUUCUGAUGUUUGGAUGUCCACUUCUACCUCUGUUUCUGGCUUUCGUUAUUACGUAUUAUUCACUGACGAUUAUUCUUGUUAUUCUUGGAUUUACCCCAUGAAAAAGAAGUAUGAGGUCUUUACACAUUUUCAAACCUUUGUUGCAAUGACUCAUAACCUAUUUAACGCAUUUAUUUAAUAUUUUCAAAGUGAUGGCGGCACCGAAUAUGUUAAUCACUCAUUUUCUGCAUUUUGUCGUCAAUUAGGUAUCCAACACCGUCUUUCGUAUCCACACACACCCCAACAAAAUGGACUUGCUGAACGUAAGCACCGUCAUAUUGCUGAUAUGACUCGCACACUGCUUACUACAGCUCAUACCCCACUCACCUUGUGGGUGGAAGCUACGCUUGAUGCGAAAAUUAACUUAACACACAAAUUAAACCCUCUUGUUGUCAAUUGUAGUAAAGAAUGUAAGUAGGGAUCGUUCUAGGCCGGAGAUUAGAAGGGAUUGCUAAAACACUUGAAACUGACUUAAAUAUGUGAAAACAAACUUAAAAGCAUGAAAUUAAACUUACAAGACUCAAAACAAAGCCACAAGACUCAAAACAGAUUAUAGAGACUCAAAACUGCCUAAAAACAACUCUAAGGCAGUUUCUGCCACUAACACAAAGUUUGGACGAAAAUUGAUUUUAUUUUAACUUAAAACACUUAAAAACACAAUCUAAAACAAGUACUGACUAAUAGACACUCUAAAGUAAAGGGGGAUUUGGUUUUGGAUGAAUUUAAGUAAAAACAAGUAAUUAAAGACUUAAAACAGAUUUUGGACGAAUUUGGUGAUUGGAAUGGAUGAUGGGCUAGCUAGAAGGUCUUUCUCCACACAUGACACACUUGCAUAUAAAACGAUUUCCAGUUGCUUUUCAAUAAACCAUGAACCUCAACACCCCAGAUUAAUUAGGUACGCUUAAAUUAAUCCUCAGAUUUUCCUAAUUUCAUUGAAUUGGAUGAUUGCAUACAACAACCCAAAGCAUUCCCCACAAGUUCCCUACAUGAAUUGCAUAAUAGAGAUACAAGUAAGAAUCAUUAAGUUCUAGGAAAAUCAUAAGCAUUGACGAAACACUUGUAACUAUGAAUUGCAUGAAACUUAUGCCAAGAAUUUACUUAACACGGUUGUGACGAACAACCUUUAGUACUUGUAAAUAUAAGUUCAUAACGAUUAGGUGAAACUCCCUUAAUCCUAGCAUCAUAUUUAUGCAUGAAAAUUAAGCGUGCACUCUCAACCAACAUACACAAAUCAGUUUUAAUUCAAAUGGAUAAGUAAAUUGAAUUCACAACUUAUGAAUCACAACUGAAAGUAACCAAAUCAUAUUGCAAGCAUGAACAUGGUUUCGAAUUCCCCCCUAGCUAAGGAGGUUUAGUUUCUCAUACUUACAAAGUAAAGAUAAACAAAUUUAGACAUUGAGAACAAAAGAAAGAAAACACCUAAAAACGCUCCAACAAUCCAACUUGAAUGGCAAGCACGUCGAAGGGUCUUCCUUCUUCUCUUUGUUGCAGCACAAGGUGUGGUUUGAUGGAUGAGUGGUAAAUUAUAGUAGUGGAUGGAUAUGCACGGCUGAGAGAUGAAAGUGUAUGGAUUGGUGAGAUGUAGUAUGGCUAAAUGAAUGGAUGGAGGUCACGACAAGGAAAUUGUGUUUGCGAAUGAAGUUGUGAGAUGUGAAAUGUAGUGUCUUUGUAUGAUGGCCCCCAAAUUAUGGUGAAGGGUGGAUGUAUUUAUAGGCUAGGGAGAGGAGUGUAUGGAGUUGUAAUGAGUGGAUGUAAUGGGUGUAGUGGGUGAGUGUUGUGAUAAUGAGUCGAUGUAAUGGGUGUAGUGGGUGGAUGUUUGGUAAUGAGUAGAUGUAAUGGGUGUAGUGGAUGAGUUUUUAGUAAUGAGUAGUGUUUGGUAAUGAGUGAAUGUAAUGGGUGUAGUUGAUGAGUGUUUGGUAAUGAGUGGAUGUAAUGGGUGUAAUGGGUGAGUGUUGUGGUAAUGAAUGGAUGUAAUGGGUGUAGUGGGUAGAUGUUUGGUAAUGAGUGGAUGUAAUGGGUGUAGUGGAUAAGUGUUUGGUAAUGAGUGGAUGUAAUGAGUGUAGUGGGUGGAUGUUUAGUAAUGAGUGGAUGUAAUGGGUGUAGUGGAUGAGUGUUUGGUAAUGAGUGGAUGUAAUGGGUGUAGUGGAUGGAUGUUUGGAGUUGUAGGUCAACACACUUGCACACACACAUGCUGAUUUCUAGCCUUCAAAUCUUCAAAAAUGUCCAUCCUCAUGUCCUCAUGCUUGCACUAUCCAAUCUUGGCUAAAAAAUGCUCUAAAAUGCUCCAAAAUGCACUUUCUUGCCAACUUUGUUAUUAUGACCUACAAACACAUGAAAAUAGCUUAAAAUUCAUAAUUAACUAAGAAAUAACAACACAAAUGCACAAGAACAAGCUAACUAAGUCGCAUAAAUAUGCUCCUAUCAGCGCUCACUUCUGUCCACCUCAUCAAUCUUCUCCCCACCUCUACCCUCAAUUGGUCAACUCCCUAUACACUUCUAUUUGGUUAGACACCCACUUACUCUCACCUACGUACCUUUGGAUGUAUGUGCUUUCCAUACCUUCGGGAUUAUGUUCACGAUAAACUAAGCCACGUUCUAUUGAGUGUGUUUUUGUGGGUUACAGUGCCUCUCAUAAAGGUUACAGGUGCCUUGAUCAGACCACUGGACGUAUUUAUAUCUCUCACCAUGUGGUGUUCAAUGAGGCUACUUUUCCUUUUGCAACCUCUCUCGGCCAGCCACCAACCACAUAUGUGGAGCUGGAAAUUCAUCCUACUGCCAUCCCACAAUUUGCUUGCUCAUUGCCCAUCCCUACCUCUCUUGGUCUCGUGGGCUCCUCCUCUAAUGAUGGCCAGUCAAUGCCACAUGACAAUGACCUACCUACUUCUGCUGCUUCUCCACCGCAGCCUGCCGCUACCCAGUCACGGUCACCACCACUUAUGCUUCCAUCUCAUCCCAUGGUCACCCGAACUAAAGACGGCACGCGUAAACCCAAGUCCUGGACUGAUGGCUCUAUCCGGUAUCCUCUCCAUCAUGCUCUUUCAGUUUUGCUUACCACUGACGAACCCACAUGCUUUACACAGGCUGUUCGCAAACCCGAAUGGCGGGCUGCCAUGACCGAGGAAAUUAAUGCCCUUUUUUUAAAUAAUACUUGGGUUCUUGUUCCGCCAUCACCCACCCAAAACAAAGUCGGCUGCAAGUGGGUUUAUCGCAUAAAAUGGAAAUCUGAUGGAAGCAUCGAUAGAUACAAAGCACGUCUGGUGGCAAAGAGCUUUCACCAACAACCAGGAAUUGACUACGAUGAAACUUUCAGCCCUGUGGUCAAACUUGCAACUAUACGUACAGUUCUCAGCCUUGCUAUUUCAAAUCAUUGGUCCGUUCGUCAGCUCGACGUGAAAAAUGCUUUUCUGCAUGGUCAUUUGAAGGAGGAAGUCUACAUGUCACAACCCCCUGGUUUUGUUGAUCCCCAACAUCCCAAUCAUGUUUGUUGUCUCACCAAGGCACUUUAUGGUCUUAAGCAGGCUCCUCGGGCCUAGUUUCACCGCUUUAGCUCAGUCAUCAAGAGAUGAAGCUCCCAAAAGAAUAACCGCUCUCAGUGAACCAUACAAAUUGGAAAUUUUGGAUAGUAUUAAAGAAGAUCCCAUUACCAUAUAUCAUAUUGGUAAGGGUUUCACUAUUUUCAAGCUCAAUAUAGUGUAUGGAAGGUGAUGAUUUAAUGUGUAGGAACUGUGCGUAAAUGAUAUUUUUAUUAGCUACACAAGUGAAAUGUACAGUGUUUGUGUUGAGUCUUAAGAUGGAAAUUUAAAGGAAUAAAAAAGAGAGGGCGGGGUGUGCUCAGGGAAAACAAUGUUGUUGGUGCUCUUUAAAAAUGAGUUAUUGAUAUGCAGAUUGAAAAUAAGACUAAUUUGGAGGUGGGAGGAACCUUUUGGUCAAGCUAACCAAAUUAUACUUAUGUUUAUACAUAUGCAUGCUUGUACUAGGAUUUGAUUGUGUUUUGAACUAGCAUCCUGUCAUAUUAGACUGUCUUGAUGUCAUAAUUCCUCAUAGUAUGCCGAAUUCUUCAUAGGUGAUGAAUGGUGGAACCUAUGUGCGGGGCCCCAUGUUGAAAAAAUUGGGAAUAUUAACAGAAAACUUGUCGAACUUGAGUCUAUGUUGGUGCCUACUGGAGAGGACAUGAAAUGAAACCAAUGCUGCAGUGGAUCUAUGACACUGCAUGGGAGAGUGAAGAUCAAUUGAAGGCAUAACUUCAAUUGAAAGAGGAAGCUAAACGUAGAGAUCACAGGCGCCUUGGUCAAGUCAAAUCAAAGAUGAAAUUAAGGGUGUCAUAGAUCUUACAGAAGAACUUUCGUUGCAAUUCGGCUUCAGCAAAUAUGAGGUCAAUCUCUUUACAAGGCUAGAGAAAGCUGUUGGAGAUGAUAUAUGGGUGAAAGCAACAUAUGCCCUUAAAGAUGCUUUGGAUGAUAAAGGCUGGAGCUAUCAAAUUGAUGAAGGCGAUGGUGCCUUUUAUGGUCCAAAAAUUGAUCUUAAGAUUAAGGAUGCCCUUGGAAGGAAGUGGCAGUGCUCAACUAUGUAGGUUAAUCCAGUGCUCAACUAUGCAGGUUAAUCCUGAACUCAUGACGGGAUAAUUCUAAGGAAAACUAAUGAAAAGGGUUUGAAAACUUUGAGUUUUAACGAUAAAGACAAAAUAAAGGGUAAAGUAAAUAGUACCAAGUUUGACUUUUUAGUAUAAAAAUGUGGUUUUUCAUUAAAAUGAACAGUACCACAGACUUUUCGUUAAAAUUCCCAUAAUUCUAAUAUAUGCUUUGUUUUUUAAUUGGUAAUCUCUCAGUCUAUCUCUGUAUCACUUUGUAAAAUGUUCAUUGGAGAUUUGAGCAUCUUUUUUGAAUUGAGCGAAUUACAUGGAUUUGUUUGAUAGACUAAAGCCACUUAUUACUGUUAUUUUAAAUUUUUGAUCUUUUGUAUUUCCCAAAUUGUACAGGUUUGUAAAGCAGUUGCACGUUUAAUGUUUCAAUUAACUCAAGAACCCUCAACACACCUGCACGACGGUUACCUAGGCUACGACCCCUGGCUUUCCUCCCAGCGAUUCGACUCCGAGUCCCUCAAGGACCUCGCCAUGGAUUCCCCAAUCUUCCACGGCUCCGCCGUAGAUGACGCUUUCGCCACUCAGCCGGCGUCGGAGGCCUUCUCUCCUCCGUCGAUCUACGCCGAAUCGAACGGCCAGGGCUUUGAUGGAGGGUUUGGCAGGUCCGUGUUAGAUACCAAUUCCAGCCACUAGUUCAUCCUUAACUGGAAGCAAGAAUUGUAGGAAAUGGCGAGAGGGAAAAGAUGGAGUAUUUUUUGCAAAAUGAUUUUUUAUAUUUGAUUUCAUCUAUCCCCGUUCAACAAGAAAGGGAGAGCUUUAAUAGCACUAGCAACCUCCCCAAUGAAAGAUUGUGACAUGGCAUACAUAGCCUAAACUCUUAAACAACAGCACAAAGGAAAGGCAAAUUACACAACGACCCUAAAACAUUACAUUUCGACCCAAAACUUUGUUGCUUGUGAUCAAGGCAAUCACAGUACAUAACAAUGCUUCGUCUUUGAAAAAUAACCUUGUCCACAAGGUUUACACUGGAAAAUCGGGGUGUCGGGUCUUAAAUGCAUCGAAAUCUUCCCAUGAAGCUUUAGCUGCUUCCUGUCCAUUCCAUUGCACUAAUAGCUGCACCAUAGUUGCAUUUCCCUUCUUAUACAUCCUCCUAGCCAAGAUUGCCUGUGGUAAGUUCUGCAUCAACCCAUCAUCUGCAGCAAUGGGCAGAUUCACAUGUGAAACUACUUUUUCCCCCAAUUGCUUUUUGAGGCAGCUUACAUGGAACACAGGAUGUAUCUUUGAUCCUUCAGGUAAUUUUAGUUUAUAAGCCACCAUACCAAUAUUUUCCAACACUUCAUAAGGACCAUAGAACCUAGGCUGCAGUUUAUGGUAACUGUGCUGCCAAUGCUUGCAACUGAUAAGGAACUAGCUUCAAGUAUACCUUAUCCCCCACAUUGAAAUGCCUUUUAGUUCUUCUUUUAUCAACUUGAACUUUCAUCUUGUUUUGUGCUAAUUCCAAAUUGUGUUUGAGAACAGUAAGCAUGUUAUCCCUUUCGAGAAGACUUUGUGCCACAUAGUCCAUUUUUGCAGUUCCCACUUCAUAUGGAGCUAUAUGAGGUGGAGCAUGACCAUACACCAAUUCAAAAGGUGUAAAACCUGCAGAGGUGUGAUGUGAUGUAUUGAAGCACCACUCAGCCCAUGGCAACCAAUUCACCCAUUUUUUAGGCUGCCCUCCAAUAAAACAUCUUAAGUAGGUCUCCAAACACCUAUUCAUAACCUCAGUUUGUCCAUCACUCUAGGGGUGAUAACCUGAACUCAUGCACAGUUUUGAGCCUUGCAACUUAAAAAACUCCCUCCAAAAUGCACUGAUAAACAUAGGAUCUCUAUCACUCACAAUGGAACUUGGCAUACCAUGCAAUUUGAAGACAAACUCAAUGAAUAUUUGAGCCACACUCACUGCAAUAUAUGGAUGGGAAAGAGCAAUGAAAUGUGCAUACUUAGAAAGUUUGUCCACCAUCACCAUGAUCACAGUUUUGCCCCUACAAUUUGGCAAACCAAGUAUGAAAUCCAUGCUAAUGUCCGACCAAUUCUUCUGUGGAAUUGGUAGUGCUUGUAACAAUCCAGGUGGAGCUAUUGUUUCCACUUUGUUUUGUUGACAAAUGCUACAUUCAACCACAAAAUUUCAAAUAUCCUUCUUCAUUCCCUGCCAAUAGAACCUCUUUUUGAUCCUGUGAUAUGUUUUAACCACCCCUUGGUGACCUCAUCCAGAAGUAGAGUGAUACUCUUCAAUGAUUUUGUGUCUCCAAGGUGAUGUGGGACUCAAAACUACCCUCUUUUUAUAGCAUAAGAACCCAUUAUCAACAGUAUACUUGGAAACUGCAGCUUUAUCAGUAACUGUCUUAGAACUAUCAAGCACAAAUUUAAUCCUUUCCAAAACCCACUUAUCACUUUCAAAACUCCUCCUUAAAUCAUCCAUCCAGCCAAAAUAAGGGUAGAUGAUGGCAGUGAGUUCCAUGUCAAGGUGAACAGGUUUCUCUACCAACUCAGAAUUGACAUUUGGUACCUUAGAGAGUGCAUCAGCCACUGUGUUUUCAACUCCACUCCUAUACUGGAUCUCAUAAUCAAAACCCAAGAGUUUUGAAACCCAUUUUUGUUGAAAAUGAGUAUUAGCUCUCUGACUUAAGAAGUACUUGAGACUAUUGUGAUCAGUCUUAAUUAUGAAGUGUUUACCUUGCAAAUAGUUAUGCCAUUUUUUUACAGCAUGAACUAUUGCAAUCAGUUCUCUUUCAUAAGUAGAAAGAGCUUGAUUCUUAGGUCCUAAUGCCUGACUGGUGAAUGCAAUUAGUCUAAGGUUUUGCUGCAUAACUGCUCCAAUUCCAUUGUCUGAAGCAUCACAUUCCAAGACAAAGGGUUGAUUGAAAUUUGGCAAUGCCAAUACUUGUGGUGAGGACAUAAUCUUUUUGAGUUUUUUAAAUGCUUCCAAAGCUUCCACUCCUCAAUAGAAUCCAUCCUUCUUAGUGAGAUUAUACAAAGGCUGGCAUAUUUUCCCAUAUCCAGGCACAAAUUUUCUGUAGUACCCAGUGAGGCCUAGAAAUCCUCUCAAUUCCUUCACAUUCCUUGGUACAAGCCAGUCAGUGAUUGCUUGGAGUUUGCUAGGAUCUGCCAUAACACCAUCCUUUGACACAAUAUGGCCAAGGUACUCUACUUUACUUUGACCAAAGGAACAUUUAGAUUUUUUCAAAAACAACCGAUUGUCUUGCAAUAUCUGAAAAACUUGUUGUAGAUGUGUCAAGUGAUCUUCCCAAGACUUGCUAUAUAUUAAAAUGUCAUCAAAGAAUACCAGUACAAACUUCCUGAGAAGUGGUUUGAAAAGAUCAUUCAUCAAGUUCUGAAAAGUUGCAGGUGCAUUGAUAAGCCCAAAGGGUAUCACUAAAAACUCAUGAUGUCCUCUAUGGGUCCUAAAUGCAGUCUUAGCAAUGUCUUCUUUGUGCAUCAAUAUCUGGUGAUAACCUGACCUUAAGUCAAAUUUUGAGAAGAAAACAGCACCAUGUAGUUCAUCCAGCAAGUCAUCAAUUAGAGGGGUUGGAUACUUAUCCUUGAUGGUCAAAGCAUUAAGCUCCCUAUAAUCGACACACAUCUUCCAUGUACCCUCUUUCUUCUUCACUAGUAACACUGGAAAUGAGAAAGAACUAUGACUUGGUCUUAUAAACCCAGCUUCCAAAAGUUCUUGAACUGCUUUCUCAAUUUCUGUUUUCUGCAAGGGACCAUAGUGAUAGGGUCUGAUAUUUUGUGGUUUUGCUCUUAGAACCAAUGGUAUAUGAUGAUCAUGGACUAUGGAGGGUGGGGGUUUAGAUAGUAGAACAAAAAUAGACUCAAACUGUCCCAACAGAGUCUGUAAUUCCUGUAGUUGUGACUGAGUGAGAUCACUAGCUUCAAGUUUUUCCCCUUCCAUAGAGUAUAAGAACAACCCCAAGUUGGAAUUAUAAAUGUCCUUGUCAAGGUGCUGCAAAAAGACUUCCUGAAUAACUGGCAAUGUCAUAGGGCUAUGAUGCAACUUGUAUUGCUGAUUAUUUUUAACAAACUCUAUAGUCAGCAACUGGAAAUCCCAGAGCAUAGGACUAAUGGAAGAAAGCCAUUGAACCCCAAGCACAAUGUCAUAACCCCCUAAAGGUAAAGUGUAGAGAUCCACUGCACAUUUAUACCCUCCUGUAGUGAGAGAGGUUGACUUACAACACCCUGAACUCCUCACCUUCCCUCCAUCAGCUAUCAUCACCCAAAUUGCUUGGUGUGAUGAACUUGCUGCCCCCACUGCUUCAAUAGUCGAGCAUCAAUAAAAUUAUGCGUGCUACCGGAAUCCAAAAGGAUUUUCACAGGAUGACCAUUAAUAACAUCAUCCACUUUCUUUGUUUGAAUAGUUUGCCUAGCCUUAGUCCCAUAAAAUGCACAUUCACUAAGCUCCACAUGAAGAAGCUCAGGUUGUAUCCCCACAGAUUCAUCAUCAGAUAAUUCAUCAUUGACCACAUCAAGCAUCAACAAUUGUUUUAGACCACAUUUAUGUCCCGGAGUCCACUUAUCAGUACAAAACCAAGACUCCCCAUUUUCUCUCUUCUUUUGAAUCUCAACAGGGAUGAGUUUUAUAAUGGCUAAAUUUCCAACUCUAGGCACUUGGAUAUGUGGGAAUGACAGCUGAGAACUUAACUGGUGGUGUGGAUUUAGGAGGGAAAACUUUCAACUCAAAGUGUUUGGUAUCUAAUUGGAUUGCAAGAGCAAUUGCUUCAUGAACAUUUGUAGGUUUCAACAAUGACAUCAAAUUUGAGUUCACGUUUAAGGCCACCAAAAAACAACUCCUAAGCAGAAUCAGACCAAUAACAGUCGCUCUAGUAGCCAAACGACGAAAUUCAUAAUGUAUUCACGGAGAGUACCUGUUUAGCGGAGCUUGAAUAAGGACUCAGCAUUAUCCUCGAAUUUGGAAGGCCCAAACUCUUGACAAAAGGCGCGAGUGAAUUCCUCCCAACUCGGAGUAGUCUGAACACAAUCCAGCCAACGAAACCACUGUAAAACCUCACCCUCCAAAUGAAAAGAAGCAGUGAAAACACAAUGAUCGGACGAAGUGUUAUAAAAGGAGAAAUACUGUUCAGCUUUGAAAUUGCCCACUUUAAGCAGUUCGUGAGUUAUGGCUAAUUUCAUUUGUCCCACAAGUUUGUCCUCUCUCAGCUUAGGAAGCCUUCACAAAGGUUGCUUAGGAAAAGUCUCAGCAGUCGGUAGAGCCCCAGAAAGAGAAGGUACCGGAGGGGGAUCAUUCGGAGCCUCAGUACUGGACAGAACCCUAAAAGGAGGAGGCAUCGGAGGUUGAUCAUUUGGAGCUUCAUUACGCGGUACAGCCCUAGAAGACGAAGGUAAUAAAUGUCUUUGGAACAAACCCACAAACCUCUGAUGAUCAAGUAAAACCUGACCAUCAGAUUUCUUCAUCUGGUCAAGCUUCAUCUUUAUGUUUGUAGCAUGGUUAUGUGCUAGCCGGUGCAACUGUUUAUUCUCAUGCUUGAGUCCUCUAAUCUCCUGUUUGAGACUCAUCACUUCAGCCGCCAAUGAUUUAACUUGGCGGGUUCAUACAAAUAGGCGUUGGGCCAUAUUAGACACAGAACCUGCACACUGAACACUGAGAGCCAGAGAAUCCUUAACAGCCAACUCAUCACACUGUUUGAAAAGUAGUCUGUUAUCUUUGGGAGUGAGAAGGUUCUUGGCCACUACCGAAGCGGUCAUAUCAUUCUUCAUCACGGAAUCCCCAACGGUAAGAGGACCAGUAGGGGAUAAGAAGGAUGGGUGCCAUAUGUUGUCUGGAGAAGACAUGGCUGCCUCUUCAACAAGUGGUAGCUAGAUCUUCAAAAUUUAUGUGUCUAAACUUUGUUAGUGCUGUUUCUUUGCUAUUCUUUUACCCUUCUUGGUCAUAGCGAUGUAGUGGGAGUUGCAAGCUUCACGUGUCUUCCAGGCAGUCAGUUCCUGACUGGAAGCUUAAUUCCAAGUGCUGACUGAUUACUCUCUUUCUCCCUCUCUUGCAGGUAAGAACAAGGCCAAAGGAAAAGACAGGGAAAAAGCAUGAUAUGGGAUACUCUUGCUUUUAACCCUGAUAAUAUGAGAUAUUCUUACUCUGAUGUAGCUUGUUUGCAGAGGUAUUAUCGGGGGGGGGGAAAGAAAGCUGAGUAUUUCGAGAGGCUUCGUUGGGAGUGCCCUCUCAGAUAUGAGGAAGGGUUGAACAUUUUUGCAGGUCUGCCUGUCCAUUGAGGAUGAAGGUCGACAUAUAUAGGAGUCUCCCCAACAACAAGUGGUAAUGCUAUUCCUUUACCCUGCUUGGUCAUAGCACGGUAGUGGGAGAUGCCAGCUUCAAGUGUUUUAACUCUGUCAGAGCACUUUGAAAAAAUGGUAUGUGGUAUCUGGAAAGCUGAUGUCGCGUGUGAAGAUUACAGACAAGCUUUAUCCAAUGAGAUCUGACUCUCAAAGUUGAGAAAAUUGUGACUCUUCGAUUUUCGAACAAGCAAUCCUGUCGGGGAUCUGGCUCUCGAGAUUCGGAGAACGGUGCCUCUUCGAUUUUUGAGAAACCAAUCAUACUGGGAGUCUGGCUCUCGAGAUUUGGAUAGCGGUGUCUCUUCGAUUUUUGAGAAAGUAAUCAUGUUGGGAGUCUGGCUCUCGAGAUUCGGAGGGCGGUGCUUCUUCGAUUUUGGAGCAAGUAAUCUUGUUGGGAGUGUUUUCUCGAAUGUGAGUAAAGGUUGGGCAUGUUUGUUAGUCUACCUUGCCACGGAGCACAGAAGUUGACACACAGGGACUUUCCAAUUAUCCAACAGUAGUGAUGUUCCUUUACCUUUGUGGGUAAUAAUAUGGUAGCUAGACCUUCAAAAUUUAUGUGUUUAAACUUUGUUAAUGCUGUUUCUUUGCUAUUCUUUUACCCUUCUUGGUCAUAGCGAUGUAGUGGGAGCUGCAAGCUUCACGUGUCUAAACUUUGUCAGAGAUCUUUGGCAAAGUUAUUUGUGGUACCCAUGAGCUAAUGUUGCACGUGUGGAAAGUAGAUGAUUGAACAGUAAGAUUCACGUGCUUUCUACUUCACCAGUAAUCUUCGACAGAAUGCCCGUAAUUUUGGCAAAGCUGAGUGUGCAUGUGAAGGUGUUGACAAGGCUGAAAAAGCAGGUGCCUCUUCGAUUUCUGAGAACGGCCCUCGUGGUCUCUGAGCAGCCCAACUUUUGAGAAAGCAAGCGCCUCUUCGAUUUCUGAGAUCGGCUUUCGUGGUCUUUGAGCAGCCCAGCUUUUAAGAAAGCAAACGCCUCUUCGAUUUCUGAGAUUGGCCAUCGUGGUCUCUGAGCAGCCCAGCUUUUGAGAAAGCAAACGCCUCUUCGAUUUCUAAGCAGGCGCCUCUUCGAUUUCUGAAGCUCCGUCGAGUGCAGAUUUUUAUAGAGGUUGGCAUUAAGUUCCAAAGCACACUUGAAUCUCCACCAGUAGAAGCUCCCUUUUUACACUUCUAAGACCUUGAUUUGUCUGACCUCUUCUCUCUUCAACACCUUUGAAAAUGUCUGGCCCCUCCGACCGUCGUUUUGACUUGAACCUUGUUGAAGAGGCAGCCAUGUCUUCUCCAGACAACAUAUGGCACCCAUCAUUCUUAUCCCCUACUGGUCCUCUUACGUUGGGGAUUCCAUGAUGAAGAAUGAUAUGACCGCUGCGGUGGUGGCCAAGAACCUUCUCACUCCCAAAGAUAACAGACUACUUUUCAAACAGUGUGAUGAGUUGGUUGUUAAGGAUUCUCUGGCUCUUAGUGUUCAGUGUGCAGGUUCUGUGUCUAAUAUGGCCCAACGCCUAUUUGCAUAAACCCGCCAAGUUGAAUCAUUGGCGGCUGAAGUGAUGAGUCUCAAACAGAAGAUUAGAGGACUCAAGCAUGAGAAUAAACAGUUGCACCGGCUCGCACAUGACCAUGCUACAAACAUGAAGAUGAAGCUUGACCAGAUGAAGAAAUCUGAUGGUCAGGUUUUACUUGAUCAUCAGAGGUUUGUGGGUUUGUUCCAAAGACAUUUAUUACCUUCGUCUUCUAGGGCUGUACCGCGUAAUGAAGCUCCAAAUGAUUAACCUCCUAUGCCUCAUCCUUUUAGGGUUCUGUCCAGUACUGAGGCUCCGAAUGAUCCCCCUCCGGUACCUUCUCUUUCUGAGGCUCUACCGACUACUGAGAGUUUUCCUAAGCAACCUUUGUGAAGGCUUCCUAAGCUGAGAGAGGACAAACUUGUGGGACAAAUGAAAUUGGCCAUAACUCACGAACUGCUUAAAGUGGGCAAACACAAGCAAUGGUGUGCUCAUUGGAAACUUUGGUAUUUUAAAUUUUAAUCUUGUAUUUAUAGACGGAUGUAUGUGUAACUCUUUUAUUGAUCAUUUUGUGGCAUGCCACUGGAGGAAAUAUGUGGCCCCUCCAACUUUUGAGCAGCCCAGAUUUUGAGAAAGCAAACGCCUCUUUGAUUUCUAAGUAGGCGCCUCUUCGAUUUCUGAAGCUCCGUCGAGUGCAGAUUUUUAUAGAGGCUGGCAUUAAGUUCCAAAGCACACUUGAAUCUCCACCAGUAGAAGCUCCCUUCUUACACUUCUAAGAUUUUGAUUUGUCCGACCUCUUCUCUCUUCAACACCUUUGAAAAUGUCUGGCCCAUCCGACCGUCGUUUUGACUUGAACCUUGUUGAAGAGGCAGCCACGUCUUCUCCAGACAACAUAUGGCACCCAUCCUUCUUAUCCUCUACUCGUCCUCUUACUGUUGGGAAUUCUGUGAUGAAGAAUGAUAUGACCGCUGUGGUGGUGGCCAGGAACCUUCUCACUCCCAAAGAUAACAGACUACUUUUCAAACGAUGUGAUGAGUUAGCUGUUAAGGAUUCUCUGGCUCUCAGUGUUCAGUGUGCAGGUUCUGUGUCUAAUAUGGCCCAACGCCUAUUUGCAUGAACCCGCCAAGUUGAAUCAUUGGCGGCUGAAGUGAUGAGUCUCAAAUAGGAGAUUAGAGGACUCAAGCAUGAGAAUAAACAGUUGCACCGGCUCGCACAUGACCAUGCUACAAACAUGAAGAGGAAGCUUGACCAGAUGAAGGAAUCUGAUGGUCAGGUUUUACUUGAUCAUCAGAGGUUUGUGGGUUUGUUCCAAAGACAUUUAUUACCUUCGUCUUCUAGGGCUGUACCACGUAAUGAAACUCCAAAUGAUCAACCUCCGAUGCCUCCUCCUUUUAGGGUUCUGUCCAGUACUGAGGCUCCGAAUGACCCCCCUCCGGUACCUUCUCUUUCUGGGGCUCUACCGACUGCUGAGACUUUUCCUAAGCAACCUUUGUGAAGGCUUCCUAAGCUGAGAGAGGACAAACUUGUGGGACAAAUGAAAUUGGCCAUAACUCACGAACUGCUUAAAGUGGGCAAACACAAGCAAUGGUGUGCUCAUUGGAAACUUUGGUAUUUUAAAUUUUAAUCUUGUAUUUAUAGACGAAUGUAUGUGUAACUCUUUUAUUGAUCAUUUUGUAGCAUGCCACUGGAGGAAAUAUUUGGCCCCUUCAGCUUUUGAGCAGCCCAACUUUUAACAAAAGCAAACGCCUCUUCGAUUUCUAAGCAGGCGCUUCUUCGAUUUCUGAAGCUCCGUUGAGUGCAGAUUUUUAUAGAGGCUGGCAUUAAGUUCCAAAGCACACUUGAAUCUCCACCAGUAGAAGCUCCAUUCUUACACUUCUAAGAUCUUGAUUUGUCCGACCUCUUCUCUCUUCAACACCUUUGAAAAUGUCUGGCCCCUCCGACCGUCAUUUUGACUUGAACAUUGUUGAAGAGGCAGCCACGUCUUCUCCAAACAAUAUAAGGCACCCAUCCUUCUUAUCCCCUACUAGUCCUCUUACCGUGGGGGAUUCCGUGAUGAAUAAUGAUAUGACCGCUGCGGUGGUGGCCAGGAACCUUCUCACUCCCAAAGAUAACAGACUACUUUUCAAACGGUGUGAUGAGUUGACUGUUAAGGAUUCUCUGGCUCUCAGUGUUCAGUGUGCAGGUUCUGUGUCUAAUAUGGUCCAACGCCUAUUUGCAUGAAUCCGCCAAGUUGAAUCAUUGGCGGUUGAAGUGAUGAGUCUUAAACAGGAGAUUAGAGGACUCAAGCAUGAGAAUAAACAGUUGCACCGGCUCGCACAUGACUAUGCUACAAACAUGAAGAGGAAGCUUGACCAGAUGAAGGAAUCUGAUGGUCAGGUUUUACUUGAUCAUCAGAGGUUUGUGGGUUUGUUCCAAAGACAUUUAUUACCUUCGUCUUCUAGGGCUGUACCGCGCAAUGAAGCUCCAAAUGAUCAACCUCCGAUACUUCCUCAUUCUAGGGUUCUGUCAAGUACUGAGGCUCCGAAUGAUCCUCCUCCGGUACCUUCUCUUUCUGGGGCUCUACCGACUGCUGAGACUUUUCCUAAGCAACCUUUGUGAAGGCUUCCUAAGUUGAGAGAGGACAAACUUGUGGGACAAAUGAAAUUGGCCAUAACUCACGAACUGCUUAAAGUGGGCAAACACAAGCAAUGGUGUGCUCAUUGGAAACUUUGGUAUUUUAAAUUUUAAUCUUGUAUUUAUAGACGGAUGUAUGUGUAACUCUUUUAUUGAUCAUUUUGUAGCAUGCCACUGGAGGAAAUAUGGGACGUGAAACUCAACCAAAUCAGGGACAAGAAUAAUCUGCAUCUAAUGCAAGUUUUGACCUAUGUCUUUGUCCCUUUCUCGUGUGCGCUUUUAUAACCCAAUGCCAUUUGUUAAUUUUUCAGGUUUUUUUUUUAUUGUUUAUAGGUUUCGAAAAGGGGUAGAGUGAAACAAAAUGCAAGAGGCAGGUCAAUGCACAAUUCAAGGAAGCCACCUAAAAACCGUAGAAUCUGAAGGAAAUCAUUUGAAAAUUUAGACUUUUUGUUAAUGUCAAUUUUUUUCUUGGAUGAAGACAAUGUUGUGAACUUUAAGCCCCCAGGAUUUGGUGUUUUUUAUUUUGAGCAUAACCAAGCAAUGAAACAAUAUUUUUGAUAUGGUAGCAAUGAAAUGAUCAGGCAUUGCAUUCUCUUAUGGUUGCUCAAAAUAUCUUUAAGAUACAAAAGUGGGUGUGUUCAGUUUAGCAUGUCACGAAAUCAAAUUUUAUAUAGGUUUUGUAAUAUGAGAAACGGGUUGAGGUUUGGUGCCAUAAAUGGAGUUGUAGAUGCAUAUGCACUACUCAAACACAACUAUCUACAUGAAUACUUUCUAACACAAAUUUUAAAGGUUUUACUAAGAAAAGUAAAAACUUGUUAAAAGAUCUUAAAAUGACAGAAAUAACCUUGAACACAAGCCAUGUGCGAGGCACAUGACUUAUUUUGGAUGAAAAACGUAACGGAGUUAGGGUGGAAUGACAAAUUGAUGAUUUCGGCAAGUUGGUAUGACAAAUUACUUAAAAUUAUAGUUUGUGUAUAUGAUAUUUCAAAAAAAAAUUCCUUGGGAAAAUUAUGGUCCCUAUGUCCCAACCAAAUAAUAAGGUUUUUGAUGAGAUAAUCCAUGCAAACUUGAGCAUUAUAAUGUUCAUGAUUUUGUUUGAGUCUAUUCAUAUAUUUACUCUGUAAAUAUAGAUUAGAUCGGUUGGUAAGGCAUUGUAUCUGUCUCGUUUUUAUAUUUAAGUUUAAAUUCUUCUCUCUUAAGUUAUAGCUUAUAAUAUCGUCUUAACAAAACUAAAUAUACAUAUUUUUAGUGGGAUAUAUUUUGCUUAAGUAUGCAUGUUUGCAAGAUUAAAUGAAAACCUCCAAAAUGUAUGGGGUUUUAAAUUGAAUUCUAACCACCACCACCACCCUCAUAUAAUUAGGGCAAAAGGCGAAUUUAGGAAGGUUCGUGUUACAACCCGUUUAUAAUUUUAUUUUUGAAAAAAAAUGUGAAACGAUCAAAAUGCUCUUAGAGGGUAUGUGUCGACUUUCAUUGACUUACUGGUCAGGUCACGUGUGACAUAUUAAUUAGUAUAUUCUGUCAGCACUCGUUAUUAUGAAAGACUGAUCAUAAGCGUAGCGAAAAUUAGAACUAGAAUAAAGAUUUUACGAAACACGUAUAAAUCAUUUUAUUUUAAAGUAAUGGAAAAGAUAAUAACACUAGAUAUAAAAUAAUAAUGAUAGAAUAAAAUAAUAAAAAAAAGAGAGAAGAAAAGAUGAGAGGUGGAGAAGGAUCGGGAAGAAACGAAAAGAAGGGGAAAGGGGAGAAGGGGGGAAAGAAACUUUUCUUCUUCCUCCUUCACUCACGGGAUCCCUUUCAAACUAUUUUCAUCAUAAUUUCCUCCUACGAUAACGAAAUCACAUGAGGUCGUAAGCUAUAGUUUCGUAGCGAGGCCGUCUUCAAUCUUACCAUACCCACCCUUAGAAAACCGUUGUAUAAAGAAAACGAGGUCCAAACAUAUUGACUUGUUCCGGCGACUUUUCUCUGAUUUCGGGCAAUCCCGCUGGAAUCUGGCUCGACCCAAGUGAAAAUAAUGAUUCUCCCCUCGUGGGCUCUCCUCUAGCGUAAGUAUUUUCCCAAGGUUUUAACUUUUAGUUUUGGGGUCAAUUCAUGGUUUCGAAUUUCAAUUCGAUAUUUUGUAUGUAUAUUUGAGAUGAUGCUUGUUGUAUUGUUUAGGAGUUGAAUCGGAACCGGGUAGUCAUGAUUGGUUACAUAUAUAGGGAAGAACAUUGAAAUCCUAACCUCAAUUCGGUUCUCUUCAGAAAUUUAAGGGUUGGGUUUGUGUUAUAAGCAUUAAUGUUAUUCCAUAAUGGAGGCCAGAUACGUUGGAAUAUUUUGUGUGCCAUAUUUGUCCUACCCUUUAUGCACUGAAAAGAACAUUGCUGAAAUUGUAUGUGUUGCAGCCUAGGUUUGUGCAGUUAAUUAGAGUUCUAAAACUACUGAAUGGUUCUUUAUUCUUCCCAUGGCAUCGCCAGAUGCUGAUGCUGAAUAUUUGAUUGGACAAUGCUAUUAUUAGAGUAUUAUAUGACUCUUGUUUUGGCCGUGAAUUUAUUGGUGGUUCUUUAUUUCAUUCUUUCAGCGGAUGAAGAGCUUAAGACUGCUAGGAAUUUACAUUUUUAUUUUGAAGCACUUGAAUAAACAGUUUGGUUUUUCUAUAAUAAUAAUAAUUAAGGAUCAUUGAUAUGGUUAGGCUAGUGUACUAGUUACGAAUAAUUACAUGAAUGUUAUAGUUUAGGGAUUGCAUGUUAUUCUAUGGCCUGAGAACUAGUUCCUUGGUAAGAUUAAUGGAUUAUCAAACAUUAUACAUAUUCUCUAAUUGAAUACAUUACUAUGUUUAUGAGUUCAAGAUCAACUUAUUAUGGCUGGUAUGGAUAUCAAUAGUUGACAGAUCCAAUUUGGUGUGGUUACUUUUCCAUUAAGUAUUUCACGUUUAUACAUAUCAUGUUGUUUGCUUAAAUAAUACAAUGGAUGUCCUAUUAAGUGUAAAUGUCUAUAUGCGUAUACUGAAACCAAAAUCAAGUUGAUGAUUCACGUUUUGAAGUUAUAUAUAUAUAUAUAUAUAUAUAUAUAUAUAUUUCUCAUAUGCCUAGACAAGCUAUACAAAGAAAGUAUACCGUUUCUAUUAGUUAUUUUGAUUACAUGUAUGUAGUAAUGACUUGCAGUGGUGAUAGGAGUUUAUUGAAAUGGUGAACUACGAAUGGUUUGAUCCCUUUAGGGUAGUCUAACAAGGAGGUUAGAUGCAGCCAUAAAGUAUACUGAAAUUACUACGCAGUUCGAAUCUUGAGUUAUGCUUUGUACAUAUCCCGGAGCGCGGGGUAUGUUAGAUAUACGGAUGCGGGGUAUGUUAGAUAUAUGGAUACUUGGUGACGUCACGUGUCGAUCCUGGACGUAUGUCGGGAUUGGGGCCGUUAAAUGAAUUGCACCAAAUAGGGGAGGCCUUCGCCGGAUCUCUGUGUCCGAAGCCGACAAACACAGAGAUCCAAACCACUCAUUUUAAAUCAUAUGGUUCUCAUUAGCUCAUUCUAUUGGCCUUCCUCACACAAACCACGAGUUCAGAUCUCCCUCUCUUUAACUACCUGGAUAUUCGAGUUCUUGAACUUCGAAAACAAAAAUCCAGAGAGGAUCUCGACUCCAAAUAAGGUAGUUUUUCUACUGUGCAUGUAGAUAGCCCCAAAAAUAAGGGAAACCGCACCCCCCCCCCUCCGAAAAAAAAAAACCCCACCCAUAACAACAGUACAACUAUAAGUAAAGCUUUAUGAGGGGUCGCUCUAAACAAUGUUGCAUUAAAAUUAUCUGACAAUAUAACAUUAUUUCGAAUAAAACUUUUGUAUAAAUUAUAAGUUCAAACAAAAGACACUAUACAACUUCUUCUUGACUAUUUUAGGUGUAUAUAUACUCCAUUGCUGAAAAUUCUACUAUGCUCAUCAUAAUUCUUGCCAAUCCAUCAGGCAAUUGGGUUAAAUUGCCCUUGACCAAAAAAAUGAUGGUCCAUUGGUGCCAAAUUGGGCAGGCAAUUGGUGGGCUCCAAUAAGCUCGUUGAACUACCCUUGUAGCCCGUUGGCAAUAAGUAACGAUGGGCCUGACGUCAAGUAGCAAAAGGCUGACCUUAACCCUGUGCACCACACUUUGUGGCGCAUUUGAUAUUAAAAUUUUGAAAAAUUCAACGGUCAAGAUUAAUCCCAUGGUAAAAAAUCCAAAAAAAAUUUACAACAAAAAGUAUUUAAAAAACUUACAAAGUUCCUGCUUAAACAAAAAUUUGAGCUGAUAUUACUAAUAGAUAAUGACACGUGGUGCAAUGAAAGUGGUGAAAAUGGAAAAGUAUCCUCCCCAGCUCCCUUCCACCAAAUCCAUCAAGUUCAAAGAUCCGGAUCUUUGAAAUUUAAUCCAACGGCUACAAACAAGGUCUACUAUAAAAGCUAUAAUAGAUUGGAUCAAAUUUCAAGGGCCGGAUCCGAGCUUGUGAAUUUGGUGGAAGGGAUCCGGAGUCCUUUCCAUUGAAAAUCUCAUCGCCUCUCCUUUCAGCCCUUCAAGGGAAACCCACUUCUUGGGCCGUCUUCAACCACGUAAAGCUUCACUCUUUUAUUAGUUUCUGUGUUUAAAUUUGUUGGGGUUUGCAGUUUUGGAUUGAAAUUGGUGUUUUGGGAUUUGUUGGGUGCUCACAUGUGGAAAUUUGGAAAAUUUUAGUUGUGGAUUGUGGGGAACUGACGCAGUGGCGGUCCUAUUUCAUGUAAAUUGCUUUCGUUUGUGUGUUUUUGGUGAAAUUAUGAUGAGGGUUGGAUAGUUGGACUGGUUAGAUUUGUUUUGUGAAAUUAGAGUGGGAUCAAUCAAGGUUGAGACCUUUUUAGGUAAAGUAAUUGUGAAAGUUAUGUUUUUACAAUUUUUUUUUUGCAAAUUUUGUGACUUGGUGGAUUUGGAAUUUUGGUUAUAUUAGAUAUAUGUGUAAAGAAAAUAGUUGAACUGCAUGAAGCUUGAGGGGUAAUGAGGGUUUUAGGUAUUUAGUGACAUUCAGGCCAUGCUUGAUGUCUAUUUGAUGUCGGCGUAUCAGAAAUGCUUGAACAAAGAAGAAAGGUGCUCGAAGAGCUGUAGUAGUUAACUACUUGGUUUGAUUAGAUUGCUAUGUUAAUCAAAAUGUCCCCUAUAGUAUGUUAUAGGGUCAAAGUUUUACAUUAGUGUUCUUUAGCGACUUGGUUUCAAAAUUUUCGUUUUCGUUCGACUUUCCUUGGUCUGUGAGGCCAAUGGUAGAAUGAUCAUGGAAAUAUUUUUGUCUUAAUAUCUCUGGUAACAGCGGGUGUGCAUUCUUAAAGGACUUGUUUGUCACUCUUUUAAGCUGUUUAAUGUGCUCAUUUUAGUAUGCAUCAUCCAAAGUCUAUAACUGGUAAAAGUAGCACUACAAGGGCGAGGGAGCUAUCAUCUGUUUGGAAAUAAGAGCUAUAGACAUGCCCCAUAAGGGUCAAUAGGUCUCAGUUGCAUAUCUAACUUGUUUCUCAUGUGUUUUCAUCCUGAAGGUUAGAAAAGGUGGGCACUCUAGACGCGCAGAGAGUGGUUCAUCAACACCAAGGAUGGCGGGUGAUCUCAUGUAUGUGGUUACAUGCUGGAGUUUUCCAUGUGCUUGCCAAUAUGCUGAGUCUUGUAUUCAUUGGAAUUCGGCUUGAGCAAGAAUUUGGAUUUGGUAUGCAUCUGGAUUUUUAGCUUUAUGUAUGUUAUCAUGCAUGUAUGGCCACAUCCAUAAGUGUUUGUAGUAAAAGAUAAAGCUCACGAUGUAAGUUGUAGAAUAAUAAAUUAGUUACCAAGUGCAAAACUUCUUUCAUAAAUCUAGAAGAGAAACACUUUCCGGAUGGCUUUAGCUACCUUGCGAUUAAUCUACAGAGGAUUUCUAUGCAUUUGUUUAUUGAAUUGUAAUCCUAGAGUAGUGGUCAUGUAGUGCUGGUUGCAUUAUAACUUACAUCGGUAUGUUGUUUGGUUUGAUGGAAACAAGAGGACGUUUUGUUCAGCGGUGAGCAACGAAAAGAGUUUAUACACUGAAGAUGGGGUUCAAACUUUAGUUUUAGAUAUAGUAUUCCAUUUUACAGAAUAAAAUUGCUUGAAACAGAAGCUGAGAGAUUAUUUCAAUUUCCAUCACAUCUAUGGGAACAAUGAUUGUUUUGGAUAUCCUGUACAUGUAGACAUGGCGCCUCAUUUUGAAAUGUUUCAAGAUGCCGUCUAUUUGAAAAGAUUGAAAAAAUAAUAGUUUGAUGCGGAUCUACAUCAUGUACAGUUGUUUUGAUGAACUGUUUUAACUAAUUGGUUUGAAAUUCUAAUGUUUUUCUGAUUUGUUCUUCGGCAGUUCGAAUUGGUUUCCUAUAUCUCAUGUCUGGUUUUGGUGGGAGUUUGCUUUCAGCUCUUUUAUUCAAUAUGGUAUUUCUGUUGGUGCUUCUGGUGCACUUUUUGGUUUACUAGGAAGCAUGCUUUCAGAGCUCACAUCAAAUUGGACAAUGUAUGUAAAUAAGGCAAAUAAAAUUCUGUAUACUCAAUGAUGGACCUCUUUAUAGUAUGUGCACGACCCUUUGAUCUUACAGUUUCAGAUUUCGAUCCGCAGUUAGCAGCAUUGCUUACUCUCCUUUUCAUCAUCAUAAUAACUUAGCAGUGGGAAUUCUACCACACGUGGACAACUUUGCUCAUAUUGGAGGAUUUGUCUCUGGAUUUCUUCUUGGAUUUUUGUUUUUGAUCUGCCCCCAGUUUAAAUGGCUUACCCAACGGAAUGCUCCCCCUGGACGUGUUACUACUCCAGUGAAAUCUAAACACAAGACGUAUCAAUAUGUAUUGUGGGUCCUCUCUUUGAUACUAUUGAUUGUUGGGUAAGCUCCUCCUCGAUCUCUGAUUUAAUUGUUUGACUUCAUGAACCUAAUCAACUCCCUGCAUGAAAAUCUGGUAGCCACAGUUGACAUAUGCACAUUUUUUUUUUUAUCAAAUCAGAGAACUGGAUUUUGUAUAGAUAUGUAGAUCUCGUGUGUCCUGUAAUAUUUUCAUUGCAAAUAGGCUCUGUAUCUGCUUGUUUCUCAUCAGAAUGGUUAGGAGAAGGCAUUGUGUUAUAGCUAUUCUCUGUGUAAUACUAAUUGAUCACUUUGUUGAUAGCGGCUUCUACUUUGCUGUUUUGGAUUGCAUGUAUUGGAAAUAAAGGUUCAUUUUCCUCGUAUUUGUGUAGUAUCAGUAUAUGCAGGCAUUUUCUGACAGAAGUCAUGUUUUUGACAGGUAUACUCUUGGCUUGGUUGCUCUUUUUCGAGGGGUCAAUCUAAACAACCACUGUUCCUAGUGUCAUUACUUGAGCUAUGUCCCUACAUCAAAAUGGAAUUGCGAGUCGCAAAUAUUUAUUGUCUGAUAAUAUGCUGUACUUUUCUACUCAUAUUAACUUCCACCUUAAUAUUUGAUUGACAGAAGUGCUUGCUUAUUAAUAUGAUCAUGGUUGCAUUCAGUCGUUCUAGUUUGGCAUGCCGUUUAGUCUAAUGCCUUAAAGAAAUGUAAUUUAAGAAAUGACUUCUGAAAUUCUGUGUCAGGAAAUUGCUUUUGCAACGUACUUUGUUAGUACUAUAAGUUGGUUUUGUACUGACAUAUUGUUCUUUAUAUGCAUAUAUGCACCAAUCUUGCAGUUGAGCCAGAUAGGGAAUCAGCUGAACUUAACGUGCGUAAGCAAUGGUAGAAAUGGGACAUAAUCAUUGUCAGAUCCCAGCCCCUCCCGGACUUAGCAGCUAUAUGCUGAGCUUUGCAGUUGACCAUACAUGUACAGAUUUCAGAGUUGAUAGAAUGUUGAUUGAUAUGCUUCAUUCUUGUAGUAAGUAUUCUUUCUCUUACUUCUAUUUUUUGUUGGGUGAAAUAGUCAUGUGUAUUCACCAAGCAAUGGUUCUCAUUGUCAUUAUUCUUUUCAUUCUUUUACUGCCUUUGUACCUCUUUUCUACUAUUCAUAACAGUUGAAACCCAUACCGAUAACUAUGAAAUUUAUUUGCCAUGUAAAACUACUCAAUCACGCAAUUUACCCAUACCUAAGUUUGUUGAAUGUGGAAUGUUAUGGAUCCUCUCAAGCGGACCCUCUCGGCUCUCUCAUUCUGCAAUGUUGCAAGAUGAUCGGACAUAUGUAUACUUUGUAGUUCAUCCUCUAGAGACCAACUUUGAAAAAAAAAUCAACUAAAUAAAAAAUCAUUUAACCAUUUAAUUAACAUUGUCAAACUUUCAGUAUUUAAUUGAAAAACAUAGUUCAUUUAUUUAUUGGAUAACAAUUAGAUGACAAAACAAGUAUGAAUUACUUUGGUUUUUGGCGAAGUUGGACUUUAAAGUGAGGCGUUAAUAACUGGAUAUGUCUACAGUGGUGGAAUUCUCUUGCUAAAGACUUGAGCCCCCAUGAAGUUUAAAAAUUAAGAAAGCUUGAUCUCACUAGUAACUGGUACAAUUUUUAGAAAGGUUGCAUCCACAACAAGCUUUCUUGCAAUGGUACUUUAGGGGAACUAUGAGAAAAUCAGCAAUCUCACAGUCCAGCCCCUUAUAAAACAUAGAGACUUCAAAAUUUCCAUUCAUAGCUAGGGUCGCUGAUCACUCAUAUAUUUCAUGCAUUUAUACCAUCCAUUCUAAAGUCUUUGUGAUGUUUUGUGUUAAAAUUGUGGCAUUUUACCUUACCUUGUGUUAGUGUGCAGUUAAAUUUGUUUUAGGAUCAAUUUCAAGCAAAAAGGAGAAAAUGAAAUAAUAAAAAAACAAACAAAAGAAUUGGAGUCAAUUAUUCAAUGGCCUUGCACGAUGAUAGCAAUGUUUGAGCAUUUACACUUUGGUUAUGUUCAACAGUUAUAUGGAGCCUUAAACAUUGACAAAAGAAAGGGAAUAUGUGGCCAGGGAACACACGGAAGUGGAACAAAAAAAGGAAAGAAAAGGUGGUGGAAAAGAAAGGAAAUGGGAUUAUUGGGUUUUGGUAGGCAACUUUACAGUUAGUAGUCAAAAUACUUCCCCGAGGAGGACCACUUCUCUCAAAGGAUAGGAGCAGCGACAAGAUAUUGAUCAUCAUGAAGUGGUUAGUCCUCCUACUGCAACUAAGAAGCACGGCAGGAGAGAAAAGAAUAAUGGAGCAGAAAGACAGCGCAGAGGAGAGAGACUGACAGACACGGGACAGAGUGGAGAGACCGACAGAGUGGAGAGAAGACAGAGAGGGCAGACUGACAGAAAAAAAGAAAAGAAAAGAAAAAAAAAAGGGAAAUAGAGAAGAGAGGGCACGGCAGAAGGGAUGGCACACGGACAGAAAGAAUAAAAGCAAAGAGAGUAGAGAGAGCCAGGGGAGAAAAAGAAAAAGGAUAGCAGAAAAAUAUAGAGAGAAGCCGUGGAGGGCAGAGAUGGAGCAACAUACAGCAGAGCAGAAAGAAGCAUGCUCAUCUCUUUGAGGAGAAGAUCGGAGAGCUUCCUUGUAAAAAAGGUUGUCUCUUUCUUUGAUUCUUCAUGAAUUUCUUAUAUAUUCAAAUAAUUAUGUGCAACUAAUUUCCUUUUGCUAGAGUGAGGUCAUGAGCCGCAACAUGAUUACGUAGAUUUCUCUUUCAAUUGCUUAAGUGUUGUUAAAUGCUUGCUUUGAUAUUUUCAAUCUCUAAAUUAAACUAUCUAUGUGUCUAGAAGCUUGAUCACCAUUAGGAUGCUUAGAAAAGUUAUCGGAUGCAAUUUUGAACGAAUGUCACGUUAAAAUUGGUUAUGCUUCUUGUGAUUGAGGAUUGUACUCUCCUAAGGUAAAUAUCAUGCUCUUAGGGAUUACAUGGUUUGAAGAAAAGAAAAAAGGAUUUUUCACUAAGAUUAAUGAAUCACUCAUGUUUAUAUUUAGUACAAAUGUUAUGGAUAAGUUGCAUGUAGUGGUAUGCGUUUUAGCUUGAAUGUUACAAGUAAAACAUACACAAGGAAAAUCCAACCUUCAAAGAAUGUGUUUUCAAUUAUUUAAGCAAUUGGAAUAGCUACAUAGGAGUGUUGUUGUAAAGGUUGAACUCUAGGAUAUUGUCAAUCUAUUUUUCUUCAAUCAUUUAUUUUAUCUUGAAUUUCCUCAUUUACUUGUUUUGUUUAGUUGAAUCACUAUUCCUAUAAGCCAAUUCCUAUUUUAGAUAUUUGUUUAAGUCACAUCGAGGAGUAUUUAGUUUCGUCAAAUUAGUGUAGUUCUUAGAGUUAAAUAAGUUAAAUACACAAAAACUCGUAAAUUGUUUAUAUCAGUCUCUGAGGAGAUCGACCUUGCUUGAGCCAUUCUAUACUACAACACUUAUUCUCUUACAAGAAUUUUCUAUGGUUUAACCCUUUGUUUUACAAGUGGUAAAAUCGCUAUCAAUCGCCUAGCAAGGUAACUUUCAUAUUAAAAGACACCAGCGUGACGUCUGAUGUGACCAAAAUAUAGGGUUCCAUGUAUUUAUUUUUUCAUUUUGGAUGGUUGCCAAAUGUUUCGAGUCAGCUUCUGGAAUCAAGGUGCUUUAAUGGUCUUCGUCCUUGGCGUACCGAAAGUGCCGGACAAUAGGUGGUUGCCAAAUGUUUCGAGUCAGCUUCUGGAAUCAAGGUGCUUUAAUGGUCUUUCCAGUCAGCUUCUGGAAUCAAGGUGCUUUAAUGGUCUUCGUCCUUGGCGUACCGAAAGUGCCAGACAAUAGGUGGUUGCCAAAUGUUUCCAGUUAGCUUUUGGAAUCAAGGUGCUUUAAUGGUCUUGGUCCUUGGCGUUCACCGAAAAUGCCAAACAACAGUUCCCAGUAGUGGAAGUAAGCUAGUGAAGUCGUCUAAAAAAACAAGCCAAAGUGGUUAUCAUUUACUUGGACUUAUUCCUUCUCAUAUUUGAAUUUUCAAGAAACAGAAACUGUGGUGUAAGUUCCUCCUAUGAUCCUAUCCUUCUAUAAAUUUCCUUGUCAUGUAACAAAUGGAACUCACCAAAAACUCAACACCCAUCUCUUUAUUUCUUUCUGCUUCUCUCACUAGUUAUAUAGUUAACCAGAUUAGAAAUGGGGGUUUUGGUUGUGAAAUUGAUCUUAAUAUACUUGCUUUUCAGUGCAAUGUUCGUUUGCUGUUGGAGCUCCCUGCAAUCGGGACUCGGAGGGAAUGCGACGGAUAGGCUGGCUCUGCUUGCCAUCAAAGCUCAAAUAAAGCAAGAUCUCCAUAAUUACAAUGUGAUGAGCUCCUGGAAUGAAUCCACGCACUUUUGCAUGUGGCAUGGUGUGACGUGCAGUCGACGACAUCGCCAAAGGGUCACUAACCUGGACCUGCAAUCUCAAAAUCUGGUAGGGAAACUAUCCCCAAACAUAGGAAAUCUAAGUUUUCUAAGGGAGCUAUGGCUGCGAAAUAACAGCUUCAGUCAUGAAAUUCCUCCACAAAUUGGGAAUUUGCGUAGAUUGCAGGUAUUGCGAUUAGACUUAAACUCAUUUAGUGGCAGUAUUCCACCCAAUAUAUCACAUUGCUUCAACCUUAUCCUAAUGCGUUUCUCUCGCAACAAGUUGGUGGGUAAAAUUCCUUCAGAAAUUGGAUUGCUGUCAAAACUGCAAAAAUUUUCAUUAAAUUUUAAUAAUGCAACGGGACAGGUCCCUCCUUCCUUAGGGAACCUUUCGUCUCUCCAGCGACUAAGUCUUGUUGAUAAUAACUUGAUGGGAAACAUCCCCGGUUCUCUUGGCCAAUUGAAAAAAUUAACCUUCUUGGGAUUGGGGUUAAAUCAGUUGUCUGGUAGCAUCCCUUCCUCAUUUUAUAACCUCUCUUCUCUUGAUACAUUUUCCAUAGAAAUUAACCAAAUUCAAGGGAGUAUUGCAUCAGAUAUUGGCCAAAGUCUUCCCAAUCUCGGAGUCUUCAACGUCGGCGCAAACCAACUUACUGGGUCCAUACCUCCCUCAAUAUCCAAUUUCACAAGUAUUCGGAAAUUUGAAGUUGGGAGUAACAACCUAAUCGGACAGGUACCGAAUCUCCAAAAGUUUCACAACCUCCUGAAGUUCAACAUUCAAUUUAAUAAUAUUGGAAGCGGUAAAGAUGGUGACUUAAGUUUUCUCUCGGACUUGACCAAUGCCACCUAGUUACAAUCGCUGGUUAUUAACACCAACAAUUUUGGAGGGACAUUGCCCAUUUCAAUAUCCAAUCUUUCAACCAAACUUGAAUUGUUUUGGGUUGACGAUAACCAAUUAUAUGGAAGCAUCCCAUCUGGGAUAGGGAACCUGGUGAGCUUGGCAUCGUUGCGUUGGGGGAAUAAUAGCUUCACAGGUAACAUCCCCUCUGACAUGGGUAAGCUUUCAAACCUUGGAGUAUUAUAUAUUUCCAAUAACAACUUAUCAGGAAAUAUCCCGUCUUCCUUAAGAAAUUUAACCAAGUUAUACCAUCUUCGGUUGGAUGAAAAUUAUCUUGAGGGCAGCAUUCCUUCAGGUCUGGGGGAAUGCCUUUGGUUGCAAUUGUUGAAUCUUUCUUAUAACCUUCUUAAUGGCACAAUACCCAAACAAGUUUUUAGACUCUCCUCCUUAUCAAUUUAUUUGGGCCUGUCUAAUAACCUCUUCACAGGUUCCCUUCCUCCGGAGGUUGGGAAUUUAAAUAGUCUAAGUGAACUGGAUCUUUCUGAUAACAUGUUAUCUGGAGAACUCCCCAGUAGCCUUGGUGGUUGUGAGAGUUUAGAAGUCCUGCAUUUGCAAGGAAACUUCUUCAAUGGGUCCCUUCCUUUGUCUAUGAGUUCAGUGAGAGGGAUUCAAGAUCUAGACCUUUCUCGCAAUAAUUUUUCAGGUGAAAUUCCACAUUUUUUAGAAGGCUUUAGAAUCCUGAAUAAUCUGAACUUAUCAUUCAAUCAAUUUUGGGGAGUGGUACCAACUGGAGGUGUUUUCAAAAAUGCAAGUGUUAUUUCAGUUGUUGGCAACACUAAUCUGUGCAGCCCUGUUGCUAAUUUAAAGCUUCCCAAGUGCAAGUCUAAAGAGACCAAGAAACAAAGAUUGUCUCGUAGCUUGAAACUAAUACUCCCUUUAGUAUUUGGACUUACUCUUCUAGGAAUAGCCAUGGUGUUCUCCUAUUUCUUUCUUUGUUCGUCAAGGAAGAAAAGGACAGAAAUUUCAUUGAGCACUUUGGAGAACACUAUUUUGCAAGUGUCAUAUGCUACUCUACUCAAAGCUACUAACGGGUUCUCAAAGGCUAAUUUAAUUGGUGCUGGUAGUUUUGGGUAUGUAUACAAAGGAGUUCUUGAUGAUGAUGAUAAAGCUCAACUUGUUGCAGUGAAGGUGUUUAACUUGUUAUGUUGUGGAGCUUCGAAGAGUUUCAUAGCCGAAUGUGAAGCUUUGAGAAAUAUUAGGCAUCGAAAUCUCGUCAAGAUUAUAACCGUGUGUUCAAGUGUUGAUUUUCAUGGUAAUGAUUUCAAGGCUCUAGUUUAUAAGUUCAUGGACAACGGGGAGCUUAGAGGAGUGGCUGCAUCCACCCGCUGGAACUGAAGAGUUAAGAGAUCAUGUACCCGUGAAGUUAAGUCUUCUUUAGAGGCUAGAAAUUGUCAUUGGUGUUGCUUGUGCACUGGAUUAUCUUCAUAAUUAUUGUGAAGCGCCAAUAGUUCAUUGUGAUCUCAAGCCAAGCAACGUUCUCUUGGACAACGAAUUGACUGGCCAUGUUUCUGACUUUGGAUUAGUAAGGUUUCUCUCACAAGUAACGAGUAAUGUUUCAACAAUUCAGAGUCAGACAAGUUCCGUUGGAAUAAGAGGAACCAUUGGUUAUGUAGCUCCAGGUAUAUAUAUGUUAGAUAUAUACUUCAUUAUAUUUCCUUUUUUAUUCUGCAGUAUUUAAUUUACAAAAUUCAAACUGAACUAUUUAUACACAAAUGUGAUGUUUGAAUUGUAGAGUAUGGCAUGGGGAGUGAGGUGUCAACGAAUGUUGAUAUCUACAGCUUUGGCAUUCUCUUGUUGGAGAUGUUUACAGGGAAGAGACCCAUUGACAACAUGUUUGGUGAUAGCUUGAACCUUCAUAAUUUUGUCAAGAUGGCUCUCCCCGGGCGAGUUACUGAGAUUGCAGAUGCACCACUUCUUCAAGGAGGCCCGAAUGAGAAUCCCAAUCAAUGCAGUGCGAGAAUUCAUAGAGUUGAGGUGUGCUUGAGUUCAAUAUUUAGAAUUGGAAUUGCUUGUUCUGCUGAAUCCGCAACAGAUCGACUAAAGAAUAUCAAUGAUGUUGCAUCUAAACUUCAUUCCAUUAGGAAUACUUUUCUUGGAUAGAAACUCCUUUUUAUGUGCUUUUGUGAUAGAGAAAUUUCGUGUACUGCUUGUGAAGUCUAGCUUUUAUGUUACCACAGUAGAUGUGGAAGUUUGCAAUGUAAAUAAUCAUCAAUGAAGUUCAUUGUGUGAAAAGUGUGUUACUACUACUUGUACUUGGUAGUUUUGUGUAAUAUUCACAUCGAUUAAAGUCUAGUUCGUGCCACAAAAUUGUUGAAUAUUCACAUUGACAGAUUCCAAAUUUUUGAAAGAUUCGUAACCUCAAGACCCUCAACAUUCAAUAAAAUCAUCUUGGAAGCUGUAAAGAUGGUGAGUUGAGUUUCCUAUCAUACUUGACCACCAUCUGUGUAAGGUGUUUUCGAAAAUCAAAGUGCUAUUUCAAUUGUUGACAACACUAGAUUCUGCGAGGGAAUUCCUAAUCUCAAGCUGCCCAAUUGCAAUCUAAAGAGCUCCAAGAAAAGAAGAUUAGCUUAUAGAUUGAAAUUAAUAAUCCCUUUAGUAUUCAGACUUGCUCUACUUGCAAGUGUCAUAUGCUACUUUCUCAAAAGCCACUGAUCGUUUUCUUCAACUAAUUUGACUGGUGUUGGCAGUAUCCUCCAUAUAAGUGAAGGGAAUUGGGUUCAAGUUGGUUGGUAUGGUUAAUAGGGUUUGCAAAUAGUCAUUUUUUUGUAGAAUUUUAACCCCAACUUUAAAGCCCAUGGCCUAUGACAAAUCAGUGUUUUCUAGCAUUGUUGCUAUCAAUAUUCUCCCAUGUGCAUUCUGAAUUCUAAUCCAAUGGUUUUAGCAUUCAUUCUACUAAUCUUGACAAUGAAAGAGUUUUUUUUUUUUUUUUUGGUUCGAAUAAAUGAUAUUAUCUACACAAAGAGGAAGGGGAUAGACUUAGCUUAAGUGGCAUGAAAGAAUUUCUAUUAAACCUGCAAAAAUGAAAAUUCUCAGCCGGUCAUUAAUGGAUUUGAAUUUAGAUUUAUUACAAUUGAUAAAGAUUUUUUUUUUUUCGGCAAUCAAUAGGAUACUAACAAAUUUGUUUUUAGUACAAAGAUGUCACGAUAAUGUGACUUAUAGUUGUGUCACUGACCUUUUAACUUAUUGCCCUAUCUUUAACACACUUCAAUUAAUAUCAUCCUCUAAUUGUUAGUAUUUAAUGAAUCUCAUCAUAAAUUGUUAGCCAAAAUAUUAAUUAUCAAAGCAAACAAACUUGAUUGAGUUAUAAAUUUAACAUGACCCAGUUGGCAUGGCUAGGAGAAAAAUCAAUUUUGUUCAUAAUUUUCAUGUCUUCCAAGUGAACAUGGGGCUAUAAGUGAAGUUCCAAAGGGUACGGUGGUGUAAUUUGGUCCAUGAAUUGUCUCCUCCAAUUUGCAUGCAUGCGGUAGGUGACUGACUCCCAAAUAAUUCUCGUUGCCAAGCAAAUUAAAUACCAUUAAUUAAGAGCUUAAAAACACUUUAAUUAUUACCUCUAUUUUGCUUUUGCAAUUAGGAAAUUUUCCCCCUUUUGCGUACAAUAUUAUAAGAAUAUUUUUGUUCUCUACACUUAAAUGAUGGUGAUGCUCACUACCUUAUUUAUCACCGUUAUAUGAGUUUAAUACAUGUUAAAACUCAUAGUGAUGGUGCUAGCUACCUGCUUCUUGUGUUUUUUUAAAGAAAGAAAGGGGCAUUUGAUGUUUGGACAGACAUAGUGAUGGUGCUAGCUACAUGCUUCUUGUGUUUUCAAAAAGAAAAUAAAAAAAUGAGAAAAGGCUAAUUUGCACCCUUUUGGAUAUUAUGAUGCCAAUUUGCCUCGUUGAGAAACUUGUGGCUUUUCUAAUGGAGAUUGCGUAAAGGUGCAAACAAUUUGUUAAUGGUUGUGCAAAAUAGGUUUCAUACUGCACUCCGCCGCGGGAUUUGAAAUCAUAACCCACAAUUUAACAUACCCAUUUCUAAAUUAUUCAGAAAUCAAUCAGAGAAACUUCAAGCAGAAGAAAAUUGAGUUCUCAAUUAGAGAAAACUUCAAUUUCAUGCAAGUUUUUUUGUUCAAAUUUCAGGGCUUAACAAUGCAAGAUUUGAAUUUGCAUUUGGUUCAAAGAAGUAAGAUAAACUGAUAAGAAAAAUGAACUAAAAAAAUAGUGUUUUUUUUACAAUAUAUAAAGAGACAAUCUCAGAAGUUUGCAUAUGUGCUGGAAAUUUACAAUAUAUAAAGAGACAAUAUCAGAAUAAAACACAUUUGAAGAAAAAGUAAUAAGAAAAGAAAAUAGUGUUUUUUACCUAUGAUCCAUGUGAGGAGUAGAAUUUUCAGUCAUAAUUGACAACCCAAGAGCUCUGUAAAUCAAAUAUAUAGGAAAAGAUCAAUAAAAAGUGAAUUACAGUUUCUCAAAUCAGAAAGUAACAUUUAUUUGAAAAGAUUCAGACUCAUUUUGGAUAUAGAUAAACAAUGGCAUGUUAAAAACCAAAAUGAUAAGGCAUUCAACAUUCAACAUUCACGUAAAAAAAAUGAAAUACAUGUUAUCCAUCAAUGUUUUGGUAACAAAUUCCCAAAUUGCUCUAUCUACCAAACAUUUGCAAAUCUAUAGUUACAGAUGUUUAGUUCUAUGAUAUUCAACCCAAUACCCACAUUAUUGGCAAAACGACAUUGUAUAGAUCGUUUGAGCACCCGAGCCAAUGACAAUAACAUUGAAGGCAACUACAAAAUUGUACAUUAUAUAAAGAGGCAAUCUCACAAUCAAAAUUGUCAAAAUCAAUAUUUUAUGGCUACAUUUUUUUCAUCAGUCAAUCAAUACACACUGAACACAGAAUCACAUACUCGACAAAAAUUCAAACCCAUAAAUCUGAAAUUAGCAAUGUUAUUUCUUACCCCCCAAAAACAAUCCAAAUCUUAGUGGUUACAUUCAUUAGUCAAGCACUCAACCACUUAGGCACAUCAACUACAACUUGGGAAUUGUGGAGCAAAAAAUAAUCACAAGGCGACACGUGGACUUUUUAGUAUAAGAGGACCAAACUACCCUUGAGGCACACCGAGAUUCCUACACGCGAGCAGCUCAAAAAUGCUCCAAAAAGGUAACAAUUCAAUAUUCAUCUCAUCAAAUCCCGUAACCUCUAAAAUAUUUAUUCCAAAAUUAUAUUAAUUGGUUAAUUAAUGGAUUAAUUACCCAAUUACUCCAUUAAACAUCAAUUAAAAAAUCCAAAUAACCACAACAUAUAUUCCCCUCAAUCCCAAAACUAGUGAUUGACCGGCCACCCCCUUUCUCCCCAACUUUUCACACUUUUCUCCAUUUUAUUACCCUAUUUACACAACUAUUCAAUUUUGUAACCUCCUAUUUAUUUCUUUAUACUUAAUUAGCCAAUAAAUUGGCUAAUUAAGCUAAAACUAUAACCACCAAAACCCAUUAGUGGCCGGCCACACCUUGGGAAAAUUGGGCAAAGCCUAACCCUAUAAAUAGGCACCCAUUCUCACAAAAAAGCUAGGCCAACACUCUUGCAAAAAUCUCUAAAUUCUCUAAACACUCUUUCUCUCUAAAUUCUAACUUUGGCAUCGGAGGUUCUUCGGCCAAAGCCUCCCCCCAUUCAUCGUGGGCGCGUGAGGCUUGUGGCCAUAACCAAAUGUGUUAUUUAUUUUGUAGGUGCAAUUUUGUUUAAAAUCAAGGAGGAAGAAAUUUGCAUCCACAAAUUGGUGCUUUCAUUGAGAGUUGAGAUUCACACUCGUAGAAGACUCUUGCGCAAAAAGGUUUUUUCUCUAUUUCCUCUAUUUUCUAGUCCACUUGUAUUUUUCAUACGUUUUUAUUAUGAGAAUUUUUUAUUUGCCAAGAUUCUUUGAUAAAACGUAAAAGAGAAAUACAAUGGCUAGAAAUUUAGAAAAUUCCACAAGUGAAAAUUCCAAUAUUCAAGAAAUGGGACUGCGGUGAUCCACGAGACUAAACGUGAUCUUAAAGGGAGCGGCACCACCACCACAAGGCUCCACCAUGGCAACCACCGAGGUGGCCACCAUGGCAAUCACCCGCGGCGAGGUCCAUGGCUCCACCACUACGGCCCAAGCCGUGUUAUCCAGGGCCCACGCCACCAAAGCCACGGCUCGAGCCAUGUUACUCCAUGCCCAACGUGAGCCCAAUGCGUUUCCAAUUCGAGCUCAAGCCUCGCAUUCGCAUGCACCACGCAUUAAGCAGCCUGCUCCCGUGACCUAGCCUGCUCCCGUAAUCCAACCUACUCCUGCAGCCUUGCCUGCUCCCGCGACCCAGCCUGCUCCUGUAAUCCAGCCUGCUCCUGCAGCCUUGCCUCCCAUGGUUUCCCAAGCAGCUCAAGUUGGCCCGAGAAUAUCUUAACUAUCCGGAGCAACCAUCAAGCUGGGGGCAUUUUCACCAAAUUUCUCCGCGGAUUUGACAUUUCCCAAUUCAAAUCUUGCACCCGGAGUCUACCACACUUCCAUUGCUCAAGGAGGCACAUUCCUUCCAAGCUCUUCCAAUCCAAAUGGCGAACAACACUUGUCUCGACAAGUCAUAGAGUUGACGAGCGCCCUUGCACAACAGACGACCUUGGUGAAUCAACUCUUGCAACGCACCGAGAUCCAACGUGCCCCGGACGAGGUGUCCCGAAGUAGGACAAGGGUAAAUGAACCUCUCCGCCAGCAUCCCGGCAAACAUUAACCAGCCAUGUUCCAAGCGUUCGUGCAUUCCCAAUCAAGCCCACAGACGAGCAUACGUUCACGGUUGAGGUCAUACUCCGAUUAUCAACAUGGACAACCUUCCAGGUGAAAUGUUCAUUCACAACUAGGCUCACAAGGAGCAUUCUCCACCUCACAUCUGAGUAGGCAGCACAGCAGAUGGAGAGAAACAGUCACUCAAUCCGACUCAAGUUCAAGCAGCAGCCUGCGAACGGCCCGUUCGCUUGCUGGAUACAUGCCACAUGCACCGCAGUCGCAACAUAGACGAGUUAAACAUAGGGAAGAGCGGCCCAAACCCAUAGGUCACGACCGGAGGCAGUCGAAAAUUCCAUUGCCCCAGCAGAGGUAAAUUCAAGAAGAAGUUGAUAGGCUUUUAACUGAACGACUGCGCAAUUUCCAACGAAACGAGGCUGCUGACGUACGCUUCGACGAGACAUGACCAACAUAAGCAUGUCAUCAUUCACGAAUGAGAUCGAGUUGAUAGAUCCACCUCGCGGGUUCACUAUGCCUCAUUUCAUUCCGUACAAGGGAGACGAAGAUCCGGAUCGACAUCUCAAGUAUUACUGCAGUACCAUGAUCCUCUACAGGAACAAUGAUUCACUUAUGUGCAAAAUUUUUGCCACAACUCUACAAGGCGAGGCGUAAGACUGGUUUCACACUCUACCGCCGCAGUCGAUCCGAAGUUUUAACGAACUUUCCUUUGUUUUCACUAAGGAGUAUUCGUUUAAUCGCUCAAUCAAAAGGACAUCCGACCAUCUCUUCAGCAUCGUAAAAGACCCUCGGGAGACAAUUCGCGACUAUGUCAAGAAGUUCAAAAUGGAGAAGGCGAAGAUUGUUGGCUACAACGAAGACAUAGCAACGACAACAUUCAGAAAUGGGCUUUCCACGGAACAUCCUUUAUUCGGAAAAUUGAUCAUGGGAGAAGAAUUGACCCUAGCAGCUUCAUAUGCUUUGGCAGAAAAGCAUGCAUUAUGGGACGAGGCCAAGCAGUCUAACAAAAACGAGUCAAAAAAGAAGCACAUGGAACGUUCCCCGACCAAAGAAAACUCAGCGCUUGAAACAUUCACCAAGUUCACAGUUCCAAUCAGCCAAAUUCUUCGCAAGCUCAAGAAUGAACCUUGGUUUGAACUACCACCACCCAUGAAAAGCGAUCUUACUAGGCUGGAUCAUACAAAAUAUUGCGCAUUCCAUCAAGGACCAGGCCACACUACCAACGGCUGCCUGAAGUGGAAGCAGUACCUUGAGAAGCUGACAAAUGAGGGCCGAUGCGAUGAGUAUCUUAACAGGUCAACAAAACGGCCUACAUAAGCAGGGGAAGUUCCCAUCACCCCCUGAACCACGUUUGGAUUUUUUCCAAAUAAGUUCGAAGAUUCAAGCAGCUCGACGAACAAGGCUUCAUAAGCCGAAGAAUAUCCAGUUUGUUAUGCAGUUUCUACUUUCCAGCACAGUUGAUUUAUUUCUUUAUUCUCAAUAAAGAUUCAAGAAGUUAUUCAUAAGUCUGCUCCAAACCCUUUCUGGGUCUGCUCUCCAGUGCGAGAGGUUAAACUAAUUGCUCUCCAGUGCGAUAGGGUAAACUAAUUCCCCGACACCCUAAAGGGUCUGCUCUCUAGUGUGAUAGGUUAAACUAAUUGCUCUACAGUGUGAGAGGGUAAACCAAUUCCCCGACACCCAUAUGGGUCUGCUCUCCAGCGCGAAAGGUUAAACUAAUUGCUCUCCAGUGCGAGAAGGUAAACCAAUUGCUCUCCAGUGUGAAAGGGUAAACUAAAUCCCUGACACCCAUCUGGGAAAGCUUCCAAUGUAAGAAGGCCACAUAGUUUAAAAGAUCGAAUGCUUAAAUAUCAGUUAAGUAACAAAUGGUUAGGGAGCAGCAACCACUUUUACACUUAAUAGUUCGCUCAUCCUACACUUCAUCUUUAGCAACUCCGAUCUUGGCAGCUUCAUCCUUGACUGCUCCAUCUACGGCAACUGAGAAAUCAAACUCAAGCAGUUUCCUCAUUUUUGGCAAGCAGCCCAGACGUGGUAGCCCAAACUGUUGUCCAUGCCACGCCAUUUCCUCGGCCCAUGCCGAGCCAAUCCUUGGCUUCAAUCAAGCUGACAACAUAAACAAUGGCCCUUGCCACAUCACCUCAUUGGCCCAUGCCAAGCCGACUCCUGGCCCCUGCCAGCCGACGUGCCACACCACCCCCGACGGCUGCCCCGUGGUAGCACCUCCCAAGAAGAAGAUAAGGAGAAUUAAGUUUUCCUUACAUCGGUGCGGCGGAGAAAACAAAGAAAGCAACGAAAGACAGUCCUUCGCACGAACAAGAUGUAGAAGAUUGAAGCUUUCUCUCUCUUGUAGGGUAGAAUAAAUUGCUCUCCAAAGUUGAUUUAACAACCCACUUAAGGUGGACUUAAAUAGGCUUUGAGAAAAAUUUAUUUCCCUUUCCUAGAAGGAUCUAAUUUCACAUUAAAGAGGGAAUCAAGCAGUCCUAAGUUUCCUAGAGCAAGAAGAUCUCUACACCUGCUGCCCUUUCCUACGAGCAGCCCAGCAGGUGUGGGGGCAUUUGUGGAGCCAAAAAUAAUCACAAGGCGGCACGUGGAUUUUUUAGUAUAAGAGGACCAAACUACCCUUGAGGCGCACCGGGAUUGCUACAUGCGAGCAGCUAAAAAAUGCUCCAAAUAUUUAUUCCAAAAUUAUAUUAAUUGGUUAAUUAAUGGAUUAAUUACCCAAUUAAUCCAUUAAACAUCAAUUAAAACAUCCAAAUAACCACAACAUAUAUCCCACUCAAUCCCAAAACUAGUGAUUGACCGGCCACCCCCUUUCUCCCUAGCUUUUCACACUUUUCUCCAUUUUAUUACCCUAUUUACACAACUAUUCAAUUUUGUAACCUCCUAUUUAUUUCUUUUAUACUUAAUUAGCCAAUAAAUUGGCUAAUUAAGCUAAAACUAUAACCACCAAAACUCAUUAGUGGCCGGCCACACCUUGGGAAAAUUGGGCAAAGCCUAACCCUAUAAAUAGGCACCCAUUCUCACCAAAAAGCUAGGCCAACACUCUUGCAAAAAUCCCAAAAUUCUCUAAACACUCUUUCUCUCUCAAUUCUAACUUUGGCAUCGGAGGUUCUUUGGCCAAAGCCCCCCAUUCAUCGUGGGCGCGUGAGGCUUGUGGCCAUAACCAAAGGUGUUAUUUAUUUUGUAGGUGCAAUUUUGUCUAAGAUCAAGGAGGAAGAAAUUUGCAUCCACAUUCCACAGGAAUGUUAUGCAAAUCUUAGGCAGCUUGAAUCAUUAAGUUUGAGUUGGAAGAAGCUCCGUUGCCUGCUCUGCUAGUUGAGGAGUGUCACCAAAUUCGGCACUAUCAGCAACAUCAACACAUUUCACACACUCCCGCUUCCAAAACAUAUCACAAAAUCAAAAACCAAAUGAGAUUAUGUAGCAGAAAAGACAGAAAAAUAGAUUAAGAAAAGCAAUUAAUAUUAAAUAUAGAGGGUGAAUGAUGUUGUCCAAUAAAUAAGAUAGCUGUAUAUAUUUCUCGACCAUGAGAAAACAUCAAAUUAAUAGAGGCAUUAAUCCUAAGUUUGCCAUUCGUUAUUGCCGGAAUCAGGAGCUUUCUUUCAGAACCUUUUGACCAACGGGUCCUUGGUCUAAACUUGAUGACAUAUUGUAAAGUCCUCUUACAUACAAAUUAAUGAAAUAUUAAUUUAUUUCCAUGAGUUAUUUGAUUUUGCAAAUUCAAAAUAAUUGAAGAAUACUGAAAAUUACUAAACCCCAUCACAACAUCCCAUUAGUGAAAAAUCAAAGACAAAAGUAAAUUACUAUCUUUCUAAGCAUCCAAAGAUAGCAUACUCAAAAUACCAAAUUCAACUCCAAUGUCUUAAAAAAUUAAAAAACAAAUUAGCCAAAUUGGAAUAGUUAGAUCAAAUAAAGAUUUAAGUCAACCAAUUACACAAAAUAAUUCAUGCAAAGUAGGCUCCUAAGAAAAUAUACCACAAUGGUGGUGGAGGAGGCCAAGGCUUAAAUAGUGGAGGACAGCAACAUUUAAAUAUACCGCAGCAGCACGGAAUCCACAAACUGCAUAAUCAAAACCAAGGCAUACACAGAAGGGAAACCAGGAUCGGAAGUUGAUACCGAUGUUAGAUACCAAUUCCAGCCACUAGUUCAUCCUUAACUGGAAGCAAGAAUUGUAGGAAAUGGCGAGAAGGAGAAGAUGGAGUAUUUUUUGUAAAAUGAUUUUUUAUAUUUGAUUUCAUCUAUCCCCGUUCAACAAGAAAGAGAGAGCUUUAAUAGCACUAGCAACCUCCCCAAUGAAAGACCGUCACAUGGCAUACACAGCCUAAACUCUUAAACAACAGCACAAAAGAAAGGCAAAUUACACAACGACCCCAAAACAUUACAUUUCGACCCAAAACUUUGUUGCUUGUGAUCAAGGCAAUCACAGUACAUAACAGUCUAUGAUCCGAUUUUGCCGGCUCCGUCAGAGAUGCUGCCUGAGGAGGGCUUCGCUCUCAGAGAAUGAAGGAGGUAGGGUCUCGAAUUCUAAUUGUUUUCGAUUGAACCGAUAGUUCUGUAUAUCAAUUAAAUUUUGACUCUUUUGUGCAAUUUAGUUGAAAGUUGUUGGUUUUGAUUUGGCUUGAUCUUUCUGUUGCUGAGAAAUUGGGUGGAAAUUGUUGUUUUGAUUUUGUAGUUUUCAAGAAUUGCAUGCUUAGUGAUCAGUAAUCGUCUGGCUUUAUCGGAUAAGGAGAUAAAGCAAUUAGAUUUCAAAAUUUGGAUUUACAGUUCGUAUUUUGAGCCUGAAUUCAUGAAAACAAACGUAACCCAUUAUUUAUUAGCGAUUAAUGAUUUGAUCUUGCACCCAUGUUGUCUGCUUUCCAUUUCUCAUCUCUCUUGCCAUCUUCUCUGUAUUUUGGCUGCUUCUCUCUCCCGCACUCCUUUUUUUUUUUUUUUUUUUGAAUCUAGUGUCUCCUGGUCUUUAACCCGACUACUCACUAGGCCACCCGCCUGACCCCACAACAUUUGGUAGGCAAGAAACUCUAGCAAUUGCUAGGUCUAGGUGGGUACCUUGUGAGGUGUCGAACCCCAGACCUCUUGGUAACAAACCAAGGGCCUGACCAUUAGACUAAACACUCUUAGGUAAGAGACACUAAAGUAUAAAGUGAGAUAUCAGGGCACACGCCUUUAUAGAAACACUUGGUUUCAUUAAUCCAGAAUUUACUUUCUUCAUAGGUUUCAAAUGGAACUACUUAAUAUGUUGUUUUCGUAAUUCUUUUUGCUUUCAAAGUUUAUUGCUCAGUUGUGUUCGUAACCUCUGGGUUCUUACAGUUCUUUGUCUCUCUUACUUCAGAUUCUUUGCGUUUUUUAUCAUUCGUUUGUGAAGAAAUGGGUCGUACGAAGUGGUAGGGCUUUGAGGAAGGCACUUGCCACCAAGGUGCGUUUUGUUUGGGUUUCUGAUGUCAAGAAAAUUAGAAUUGAUAAUUGCAAGCGAUUUUUUCCAAGAAACAAUCAGAUUAUUGAAUCUAAGUUGCUAAUUGUUUAAUUUUGUAUAUGCUGCAAUUAAAUCAGCACCCGCAACUGGAGGAGUCAAGAAGCCUGACUGCUACCGCCCUGGAAUCGUCACUUCGGUAAGUUUUCAACACAAUAUAGUUCAAAUCCUCUGAAUCAUGUUCUUGAAUUCUAUAUGUAUCGUGUUCUUUGCAUUUCGUUAUCUGAAAUCUGUUCUUUGAAUUUGGUUACCGGAAUCAUGCCUAAUGUUUGAUGUGGCCAGUGGCUUUGUAUGGCUGGUUGGUGUGCAUUGGGAGUGUUUUUAGUUAAUGGCAGACAUAGGACAAAGGUGUGGGGCAGCGAAGUCAAGUGGGAAUAGGAAUUUAGGAUGGUACAGUUUUUGCUAAUUUAUGGGACUAGAAGUCUUCCUUUAUUUUUUGUCUUCGUGCGAUGAAAAAAAAUGGGUGAGUAAUUUGAACUCCAGUUUAAGAUAAUAACAUGUGAAUUUUUCGUAUUACUGUUUUUUCCCUUUCUAUUAAAAACAACCUUUGAUUUCUUUGAUAGUGCUUUUUUCUAUCUGUACUAUUGUUGAACUCCCCCAGUUAUCAGUUUUGGCUCAAAAAAAUUAUUUGAUGAUGACAUGCUGAAUUGAAUAUUGGCUAAAAUUAUAUUGAAAUUUGUAGCCCGAAGCAGAUAUCGUUAAAAGAGCUCUAAGUCACCCUCUGAAAUUAAUUGCCAUAAGUGAUGUUGUAAAUGGAAGCGUUGUCGAUGAGAAGGCAUUUUUUUUCGUUUCACUUUAUAUACUACGCUCACUAUCUGUUUAAUAUGUCUCAUCGUAUAAAUUAAAGUCUCAUUUCUCAGGUGCUUUCAAGUGACAACCCCAACUAUGGAUGCAUGCUGCCACUGGAAACUAUGAAAAUUUAAUAGUUGCUGGGAUCACUGAUGCAACUAAAGUGGGUUUCUUCAUCAAGUACUUCAUGAAUAGAAUAUUUCGGAGAUCCAAUUGCUGGGACAGAUUGAAGAAGGUGAAAAUCACAGGGGUGGAAUACUGGGGAGGGUGGUAGGGUUAUGGGGAGUGGGCUCUGGUUGGUUUCGGUUUGACCGAGGCCAUGGUUCGAUGGAAUCGAGGUGAUGAGGACGAUUCAUGAGGUCACAUCCACAAGAUAUAGGGCUUACACGUGGGGUUUAGGGGUUUCACGGGGAGGGUUACAGAGGGAGGGGGUGCACGCGUGAAUUGCAGAAGGGGAGGGAGAGAGGGAGAAAGAGGGGGAGUAGGGUUGCUAUAUUCAAGUUCUCUUUUUUAUUUUUACUUGAAUUUAAUUUGAUUUGAUUUGAUUUUUUUUUUUUUUUUUUUUUUUUUUUUGCUACAGGUUGAGAAUGCAAAAGCUCAGCUGGAGGUGGAGGUGAGAAUUUUAAUUUAAUUCAUGGUAUAUUGUUGUUUUUUUUUUUUUACUUUAUUUUUGUGGGAUUGUGCUGUUUUUGGGGAAAACAAUAUUAAAUUGAAGUAAAGUUUAGAUAUUUCUGUAAUUGGGAUUUAGAGUAAGAGAUGAAGAACUAAAUGUGAUUUCAAAAUUAAAAGUUUAGAACUUUUUUGGUUUGGAAGCUAAUUUUAAAUUCAGUUAGCUGAUUAAUUAAUGGAGAAAUGUAUAACGAAUGCGUGAUAUGUUUUUCGAUGCGUAUGAGCAGACAUGGGUACUGCUUCAGCGGCAACAGCUGCUACAUGAUGGUAGAUGAGGAAUUCUGAGAUGCUGAGUGCUCUUAGUUUAAGAGAUGAAGACUUGAUAAUGAUCGUUCCAAUUCUGCCUCAAGGUAUACUUGAUAAUGAUGUCGUUUAUGUGCAAUUCACUGUAUGAUGUUCGUGCCUUUAAUGGGCCUAUCGACAUAAUUCAAUGCACCCACCAAUUGGUUUUAUGAUCAUACAUCAUUCGUGAGAAAUGGGAUGGUGAGUUUCUCGAUACAGUUUUAAUUUUUGUGCGAAUAAUGUUUGUAAAAUGUCUGUUUUUAUUUAGUUCAUUGCAGAUUCUUAUUCCUUUAUUUAGUUCACCAUAUUCUUACUCUUUUAUUUAGUUCACCAUUCAUGCUUUUAAAGAUAACAAGUGCAUGGCUCUCUCAGAUGUUAGUUUUGGGUGGCAAUUGAAAGAUACAAGGAUAAACAAAAAUACUUACCAAUUGAAAGGAUAAAUUCAAUUGAAAAUAUUUGGUUCAUCAAUUAUUAUAGUAUGAGCUUUUUGCAUUAAAUGUCCUGUUUUCGGGGAGAGUGAUUCAUGUAAUUGGGUUUUAUUAAUUUUUUCAUGAUUUUAUGCAGUUUUUCGUUUAAAUUUGUGGAUUCUGAAGCACUUUUAUGAGUGUUAAUUUCUGUUUGUAUGUCUAAAAUCUGUUUGGAAUUUGGCUGUUUCUUCAAUUUCAUCACCACCCAUUCUCACAACUUCAUCUAAAGUGUUUUGCAUGUAUAAGAUUCGUGUUCAUGGAGGUCAUUUCAAACGG
Molecule: long non-coding RNA, 63535 nt
Filed under: Malus domestica (apple)
Lineage: Eukaryota; Viridiplantae; Streptophyta; Magnoliopsida; Rosales; Rosaceae
Description: long non-coding RNA (MDOM_LNC015855)
Source: RNAcentral